UGAUCUUUAUUUUUAUUUUAGAAAAGGAUAGGAUAGUGAUCUGGAUUGAGUAAUGUUGAUAUGCAUCUUACCUGUGGGACAAAUGAUCAAAUCGAAUUGCAGUUUUAGUGCAUGUUAAAAUUGGGACUUGUGGUUUCAGUUCAGUUUGGUCAGAUUUAUCUGCUGCCAUGCUCGUGUAUUUGUGUUCAAUUAUUUCCUGGAUGGCCGUGGCUAUCUAUCUUAUUCUUAGGACUUAGCUUUAUCAAUUAGGGGUAAUCAAUGUAUUAGUGUAAUCAUGUUUAUCUGCAUAUGAUCUGUGGCAUGUGGAACAAUCGAAUUGCAGCACUGCAUGUCAAAAUUGAGACUUUGCACAUGCUACUGCUACUACUAUAUUUCAAUCAUGUUGUGCGAAUGUCAUUCGUCUGAUCCUAGCUAGGAUGGCUAUUGAUAUUCCGCAUGGCGUAAUAGUAUUCUGUUCGGGCCACAUUGAUCGAUUUAUAGCCAGCAAGCAGAGCAACUCAUUACAUCCUACAUGCCUGUUGUUGAUUAUCCCAUGCAUUGUUGAUUAGUCGUUUAAUUAAUUUUUUUAGUCUCGGAAAAAUAGUCUUUUAUUUCAUCUACGCUCUCUAGUUAGUUCAUCUAGGCAGACUUAUGGUUUUAAGUUCAGUUCGGUCAGAUUAGUUUGCUGCUGCUAGUAUGUACGCGUGGUUAACUUUUGGAUGGCUACAACUAUCUAGAGUAAUGUUGAUCUACUUGUGAUGCUGCUGCUAUACUACUUGGGAAUUUUGUCAACUUGUGAUGUUGCUGAUGUACCCCGAGAGGCCCUUGAGUUUGCCGGAAUGUCGAUUAACUUCCGUUCCAGCAAAUUCGGGUACUCCAUAUGUCCUAUUUUCAGCAAAGGUCGUGCUGAAAUUUUCCGUGAAUUUUAGCAUGACUUUACUAAAAAUAGGACAUAUGGGGUACUUGCGACUAAUGCAUGGGUCGGGGUAUCUUAGUACUUAAUUAAGUAGGAUCAACUGCCCCUUUAUUCUUGCUGCAUUAAACCAUAGGUGGCAAUAGAGCCAAGUGAUUAGGCCCAACUUAGAAUUCUCCUUCCCUUUUCUUGAUAGGGUAUAUUAUUAGAAGAUACCCAUAUAUAUCAGUCAACCUAGGGUGCCUCGGCAUCGAUAAACCCUAAAUGAUGAAAACUUAACUUAGCAUUUACGGUGCCUCAGCGUCGAAAAACCCCAAAUGAUAAAACCUUGGCUUUUAGGGUGCCUCGGUGUUGAUAAAAACCUAAAUGAUGAGAGCUUAGGCUUUUAGGGUGCCUCGGCGUCGACAAACCCUAAAUGAUAAAAGCUUAGCUUUUAGGAUGCCUCGGUGUCGACAAACCCUAAAUGAUGAGACCAUGAUCUCGUUCCUUGACAAUAACCAAGUUUUUGACCAAACUUUUUUCCUAUUUAGAGCGAAACAUGGCCCACAACGAUGAGGCCGGCGGUUCGGGCAAGGCAUUCUGGGAGUUAUCCCAGGAGAUGGAGGAAGAACCUCACCGCUAUGAGGACGCGCGGAAGACACCGAUCCUGACUACACAACCCCUAGUGGCGUCGGGGAUGACACCACUGAUGGUGCCGCCGAGGAUGCCACCACUGAUGAUGGCAGCGCACGCACAGAUGGCAGCCAACCGAAGAGGCAACGGAAGGACCGGCGCCCGAACAUGCUCAGCACCAUCAAGGAGGAAUUUACUGAAGUGUCCUCCGAGGGGCAUCCAACAGCGCCCCUAGAAAUAGUCAAGGGGUACGCGGGAUAGCUCAUGUGCAUUCUCCGGAGCACCGUCUCGAUCAACGCCGAGAACCUAAGGCAUCGUGACUGAGAGAAUUUGCACAACCUCCUCUUCACGAAGCUGCACGAAUGAUACAAGUUCUCCGGUGACUUCGCAAACACAAGCCUUGUAGGGAAUAAAGUGAACAGUGCCGCCCUCACGAAGAUGAGCAUGGCCCUGGCUACUUGGAGAGCCGCGGUGAAGAGAAUGAUUCAAAAAGGUGAUAGUUAUGAGAAGAACAAGGAGAAACAUCCUUCGAUCAGUGAAGAUGACUACCUGGAGUUCAAGAUCAAGUGCGAGAGCGACGCAACCAUGGAAUCAAGUCAGUGGGGGAAAGAGAUGCGGGACUUGAACUUAGGGGUCCACAAACUCGGUCCCGACGGUUACAAAGUGGCGGAACCUAUAUGGGACAAGGAGGACGCGGAGCGUGCCGAGCAAGGCCUACCGCCCCUCUUUGAGAAAUACCGUGACAAGCAGACCAAGAACUAUGUCAGGGCCCGGUACAAGGUGGACCCGGUAACCAAGGAGCUUACCACGGAUCCAAGGACCAAGGCGCUUGAGCAUGUUCUGGUAAGGAAUACACCCCCGCGUAAUUAGCUCCAUAUGGUUGCAUUCUAAUUAAUGAAGCCAAUUUUCUAAAUGGUUCACGCUACUUCCGCAAGACACUGAAAACAGUAGCGCGGUGUCGUCUCAGAGCUCCCCUUUUGACACCCUUUAAAUAGGGCGUUGAACGUAAUGAAAAACAAGGAUAAGCUCAGUAAGCCGUCGUCAGCUGGUCGUGUGGCCGGCAAAGGCUUAUCCAUGAAAUGGUCGGAGUACUAUACCGCUGGGCGAAAGGAGAGAAAGAUCAGCUCGGAAAGCCAGGAGCGCGAGGUUCAACAACUCAAGGCACAAGUGGCGCGGAUUCCGGAGAUCAUCGAAGAGCAAGUGCGAGACCAACUAGGAGCGAUGAUCACCGCCAUUAUGCCUACCUUGGUUUCUGGACUGCAUGCAUGGAUUGUGGGCGGCCAACACGGUCCGCCCCCGAUUCCCAGCUUCACGGGCAGCAACUCGCGCAAUGCGCCGGCGGCGCCAUUGGUGUCUCUAGAGGAGGUGGCAUUGGUGUCUCCCGCGGCGGCGCCGGCAUUGCAUCAUAAUACACCCGGGUGUGGGAAGAAUAUGCCGAUCGGCACCUCGGUAGCAAGCGGCCCCUCCGUCACUUGCACGCCCGCCGUUGGCGGUACCUCGACAUUAGCCGAGCUCAACACCAUCACGGUAACUAAUUAAGCCUCUCGGCCGAUGACUUCAUCUCCUUGCCUUUGACUGGGCAUCCCUGACGCCCUACAUGUUUUCGCAGGGUGCCGCCGACGUUCCAUGCACUCUCCUGCACUUCGUGAACUACAAGUUCGUCGAUGUCGCCAAGGGCAGAAUCGUUCAAUCGGGCAGCCGCAUGUUCCACGGUAAUCAGAUGCCACCCACCGUUUAUAGGGUUCAACUGGUUCGGGUGCUGCCGGGCUUCGACGACAUGUUACCUCCGUAUCGACCCCAUGGGGCCGACGAAGAUGAUGUGAUGACCCUCAGCACCUACAUAAGCUGGCCCAUGCUUUGGUCGAAGAUCUAGAUUCGUUUGGGGGCGGGGGACACCACCCCACAGACAACACCGCCAGUCGUGCCGGCGCCAAGCCAUGGCAAGACCCCCGCAACGCUACCGGACAUGCUGGGCAUGGAUAUGGCACAGGAUCCAGACAUGCAUAUGGCACAGGAUCUGGACGACGACGACAACAACAAUGACGGUACAUUUACCAACGUCGAUAAGUACUUCAACGAACAUGGGUACGGUGACGAAUUCUUGGGGCCUCCUUCUCAGGAAUCCAACCCUGCAAAAGACGAUCUAGCUGGUACCGCGGAGAAACCCAGUUGCAACAGGCAUCGUCUAGCAUUCAGUUCUUAGGAGACGCCUCCAGCUGCUGCCUUCACCGAGCCUCAGAUAGCCGAGGUGCAAAAUAUUAUCAGCCCCAACACACUCAAGAAGGUUGUCUGUGAGCAGAACUCGAUCCCAUUACAGAAGAAGAAGAAGGGACGGAAAAGAAAUAGUAACAAGGGUGCGAGCCAGCCGGCACCGAGUACGAUCUGUGCUCAGGACGGGCCACCUUCACCUAAGGAUAUCUCGAGGAGGGUGCAUGUGGCGGGUAGGUCGAUGCUACCGACUAAUCUGCUCAAUGCUGCAACCGCUGCUAUGCGGAGUCCGCAUGACAGUGUUCUUUCUUUGGAGAAGCGGCGUCUCCGAGGGAAUGAUGUGGCAUACCCGGUUUUCGUGGCCAAGGUUCCAGAGGGCAAGGGCUUUGUGGAUAGCGCCAUCGGGGGUAUGAUCGUCCUGCGGUUUGAUGACAUCUUUGCUAUGUUUAACCUUCAUCUGUUGCACUACACCUUCGUUCGGCUAUUUUCGCUGAGUAUGGAGAUGAGGAUCAUUAGAGACAAGACCCGGACAUCGUGAUAGUCGACCACUUCUACAUGCGUGCCAAGAUCUUGGGCAGCGCUGGGGACCGGCAAGUCGCGAGUUCAUACCUCGAAGGCGUCAUUCCGGCAAACCCAGAUAAGGAUAACUUCCUCGUGCCUUACUUUCCCGAGUAAGUCAUCCCCUUACCGCCCCGUAACAUAUGAUUUCUUAGAUUUCGACCGUUCUUUUUUUCUAACAUUCCAUGUUUUGUGCAGUGACACACAUUGCACACUCAUCCUCUUAAGCCCAAAAUAUUCCAUGGCCACGUAUUCCGACUUGGACCAUCAGUCGAAGAAAGACUACACAAAUAUCAAGAAAGUUCUUGAUGAUUUUCUCCCCGGCUACGCCAGAUCUGGAGGCACCUUCAACAGGCCAAUUCGUAGGUAUGGAAAGCACGUGUUCGCCCACAAUACGACGUUCCCCUACGUCAAGCAGCCUCCUGGCGGUCAGAAGGAUGCCUACUAUGCCCUCCAUCACAUGCGGGCGAUCGUACGGGACCAUAAUCACCUUCUGCUACCAAAUAAUCUCAAAGAUUGGGCCAGAAGCUUGUCGGCAAUCCAGGACGCGGACAUCAGACAAGAAUUCUUUCGCAUCCAGUCAGAGUUUGCGGAAAUCAUCCAUCAAGAUGUCCUUCGUACCUCGGGGCAGUUCUAUCUCAGAUAUCAACUGUCCAAUAGUGAGAUAGAAACAAUUCUACAAAUGCAGGCUGACAACGCCCGCGAUUUCAUGACCAUCAUGAUAGACGACGGCUUCAUCCAUGCUCCGGUCCCUGAGUGAGUCGAAAGUAGUGAUGCUAUGUGUAGUUCUGAAAUAUCGAUUAACUCAUGUUGUAAUUAAACUUUAAUGAACUUGUAUGUCUCUUUGGUUUGGAUAGUCGUUCAACUUAUAUGUAGUCGAUGCUAUUUAUUAGUAGGACCAUGAAUCGUGCUAUUGAUGUCUUGCUUUUCUCUUUCGAUCCUUUUGUUGCAUACUUAUAUAUUGCUUAUGUAUUGUCUAUGAAUUGCUACUAACGUUUUGUUUGGCUAGUGCAUAGAGAUGUCGUCAUAUGUCAUGUACAAGGGUAAGGUUCCCGGAGUCUACGACGACUGGGAGGAGUGUCGGAGACAAGUUCACCGUUUCAGCGGUAACAGUUACAAAGGGUACACCACUAGGGCGGAGGCGAAAGCUAGAUACACGAGCUAUCUAGAGGGAGAGAGGAGGGAGCGGAGGAGGAACCGGAUGAAGACCAGUUUCAUCGUGAUGAUGCUCAUCAUCAUGAUGACAAACUCGCUACUCGCGGUCUCGAGACUUGUAAUGUUCUAACUUUGUUUGGUCUUUUGAAUUCGGAGACUAAUAUGAUGAAUUGUAUUCGGAGACUAAUCUUCUAUUGUUAUUCGAUGAUCUGUUGUUUAUAUGUUGUGCUGUCUAUAUUCUGUCCAGUAAUAUAUUUUGUAACCUGUGCAAAUAUCAGAAAAGAAAAAAAAUCCUAAUAUUCAUACUAGUGGCGCACCACACUGCACUUUAGUGGCGCACUGCAAUAAACACACUAGUGGCACACUACCUAGAAGUGCGCCAUUAGUAACCCAGAGCACAAGGUAAAUAUGACCCCUUGGGAGGCAUAGUAAUGGCACACCAUUUGACAUACUAAUGGUGCACUCCCUGGUGCGCCACUAUUGUCUGGUAUACUAAUGGCGCACCAGGGAUGCGCCAUUAGUACUAGUUACUAGUGGCGUGAUGACAGUGGCGCACCUGUAGUGAGUCAUUAAUGGCCAAAACAAGUGCGCCACUAAUUAGCCUUUUCCUACUAGUCAGUGGAGGGAGCAAGUAAUCAGUGAGUACUCCUUCAGAAAGCCCUCGUAAAGGUCACUUUGGGUGGGCUGGGAGCACGCCACUUGGCGCGCUCUCAGCCGUCGCCACGCUCAGGGCGCUUCCUUCGAAUUUUAUUUUUAUUUUUCUGUACGCAUUUUUGGCUUUUAGAUUUUUUGGGGGUUUUUCUACUUUUUGGUUUCCCUUGGUUUUCUUAGGUUUUGGAAAAAAAUGCACGAAAAAACUUGUUUUCCUUUCCGUGAGAGGUACAAAUUUACUUCUCGUGUAAGUACAGAUUUGCUUCCACAAGAGGCAUAGUUGUGCCUCUUGAGAAAGCAAAAAUAAAAAGCGCGUUUUUUUCCUUUCACAAGAGACACGGAUUUACUUCUCGUGUAGGCGCGGAUUUGCUUCCGCGGGAGGCAUAGUCGUGCCUCUCAAAAAAGGAAAAAAAAUCACAUUUUCUUUUUUCCUUCUGAGUGACAUGGAUUUACUUCUCAUGGAGGCACGGAUUUGCUUCUACGGGAAUCACAUUCGCGCCUCUCGAAAAAAUAAAAAAAAUCCUCCCGAGAGAGGCACGUAUUCGCUUCUUGUGGAGGCACGAAUUUGCUUUCGCAAGAGGCAGAAUCGUGCCUCUUCAGAAAGAGAAAAAAUGCUUCUGGUUCAGUUUUUUCCUAAAAAAAUGUUAGCUGAAACCUAUCAACAUGUGAUCUAGUUUAGAAAUCUCGACGACAGGAAUCCAACGAUGAAAGCGGUUUGACAUUUGGACGCACAAUUUAAGAGACAACAUUUUAAAUAAAUGAAUCUACAGAAAAGAGAAAACUCCCAGGUUACGACAAGUGGUGCACAUGCAAUGCCCCACAUGUCGCAACCUGGGAAGGUGGGAGGAACCUUUGCAAAGAGUACUCUUACCCACUUACCAUGGAGGGCAUGGUUGUGUUGAUGACAAAUAGAGGGGCUCAAAACACGUUCGGCAACAUUUGACAAGCCAAAUUAGCCCGGCCCGGCUAUAGAUGCCCUUAAUAAGAGCGAGGCUUAACCACCUGGUCGUCGUGUAUGGUUUGAUCAAUCACAUGACCCAAAUUGCAACCCACUAUUUGUGGUCUUUUAUUAAUAUAAAUUUUGGUCUUUUUGUUUAAGUUGGGCUUCUCGAAGAGAUGGGUAAACACGGUUAUGCAUCUUGUAAGCUCUGUGUCCUUUUCGGUUUUGCUUAAUGGAAAGAAGUUGGAAGAAUUUAAACUGAGUAGAGGUAUUCGGCAGGGAUAUCCAAUCUCCCCUUACCUAUUUUUUGUUAGCAGCAGAGGGCCUUUCGUGCCUCUUGAAGAAUGUGAAUCAGUCAUCUCAAAUGGGUGGGAUACAGGUGGCCCCUUCGGCACCGGCAGUUAAUUACCUUUUGUUUGCAGAUGAUAGCCUGCUGUUUUUCAAAGCUAAUGGUGGAGGGGCGACGAAGGUGUCAAACUGGGUGGAAACUUACUGUCAAGCAUCGGGUCAGAGAAUUAACCCAACGAAAUCUACUAUAUUUUUUAGCAAUGGUUGUCCAGCAAGUGUGAAAGAGGAGGUUAAAACAAUAUUGAAUGUCCCAAAUGAAACUCUAAAUGACAAGUAUCUUGGGAUGCCUACUGACGUAGGUGCUUCUAAGAAUGGGGCUUUCAAAUAUCUAAAGGACAGAUUGUGGAGUAAAGUGAAAGGGUGGAUAGAGAAAACUAUUUCUUUUGCGGGGAAGGAGGUCUUGGUGAAGUCAGUUGCACGCAGUGCCGGUAUACUCAAUGUCAUGUUUUAAACUCCCUAGAGGCUUGUGUGAGCACCUGAACAAACUCAUACGCCAAUUUUGGUGGGGAAGCAAGGAGGGGAAGAGAAAACCCAACAGAGUAUCUUGGUACACAAUGACACAACCGAAGUUUAUGGGAGGACUAGGAUUCCGGGAUUUUGAGUUAUUUAACCUGGCUCUCUUGGCAUGUCAGGCAUGGCGCCUGUUGCAGCAGUCGGACUCGCUUUGUGCCCGUAUUCUGAAAGCUAUAUAUUUUCUAGACUCCAACAUACUUUCAGCUGAACUUGGGGGAUGCCCCUCCCAGGUAUGGAGGGCAAUCUUGGAAGGUCGUGAUGUCUUGCUCCAGGGUCUGUUAAGGAGAGUCGGUGAUGGUGAUACUACUCGGAUAUGGCAAGAUAAUUGGAUCCCUAGAAACGGGACAAUGAGGCCGAUAGCUUGUCUUUCGACCAAUCCACCGCAGCUAGUGAGGGACUUGAUAGAUAGUACAAAUGCUUGAUGGAGGAGGGACAUGGUGGAACAGAUUUUUAUUGCUGCUAAUUCAAACAUAAUUCUAGGGAUCCCUUUGAGCACAAGAAGAAUGGCCGAUUUCUGGGCUUGGAGUCAUGAGAAGAAUGGUGCCUUUUUUGUACGCUCUACAUAUCGGAUGCUAGUGGAUACAAAGAGGAGAAUGGAAGACUGACUUGAAGUAAGGGCGGGAAGCUCAAACUAUGAGGCGGAAGAGAAAUCAUGGAAAUCGUUGUGGUUAGUGAAGGUACCAGGAAAAAUUAGAAAUUUCCUCUGGAGACUUGCAAAACACUCAAUCCCAACAGAAGAUGUGAGACUUCACAGGAAUAUGGCGACCACAGAUCAAUGCCAGAUAUGUGGGGUGCAGGACUCAUGGCGCCAUUCCCUACUGGAAUGCACUAUGCCUUGCUGUGUGUGGGCUCUUACAGAUGAUGACAUAUCGUCCAUUUACAGGCUACAACAAAAGGGAAUGCUAAGAGAUGGAUUUUUUUUCAUUGAUAGAAGUUAUGUCGCAUGCACACUUAAUCAAAAUUGUUGUCAUGUUGUGGGUGAUUUGGUCGGCGCGCCGCAAAGCAAUACAUGAAGGGAUUCUUCAGAGUCCUCGCGCCACCAACUCCUUCAUUACCAGUUUUAUUGCGGAGCUUGAAGCCAUUAACGAAACAAAUCAGCAACAGCCUCGUCAAGGGAUUGUGGCAUCAAGGAGUGCAGAUGCGAGGUAUAAAUGGAGGGCACCAGCUCGUGGCAUGGCAAACAUUCACGUUGAUGGGGUUCUGGCGAGAGUUGGGAAUGGGGGAUCAUCAGCAGCAGUGUGUCGGCACCAGGAUGGCACCUACCUAGGCUCUUCGGAGUUGGUUUUCAGCGAUAUUCACGACCCGGCGACACUAGAAGUUCUCGCAUGCAUGCAGGAAGCUAUGGCACUUGCGCAAGACCUCUCGUUAAGGAGAAUCGUUAUUGCUUGUGAUUGCAAAACAGUGGUGGAAGAGAUACAUAAGGGAUCGGCUGGCUCUUACAGUGUGAUCAUUAAGGAGAGUGAAGCUUCAGUAAGGGAUUUUGAUACUCCCUCCAUCUAGGUGUGUAAGUCACCUUACGAAAAUCAAAUAGUCCCAAAACACAUAGGCGUGGUGCAUUAACACUCACGUUGUUUCUUGUUUUUGACACAAAUAAAGGAAUCAACCAAUAAGAGAUGUGGGGCGUGUAUGCUUUUAAUGAUUUAAGACUACCAAACAUGACAUGCAGUGGUCAGUUCAUUGCAUGCAAUGGGAUUAAUUAGCAAAUAAACAUUAAGUUCUCUCGUUUUCCUCUCCACCUUGGUUGCGAUGCACAACCUAAGAUGACUUAUUCACCUAGACAGAGGGAGUAGUUGUGUUUUUAUUUUUGAAAGUCGUGUUUUGAAUUUUGAGGCUCAUAGUUUGGUCAAGUUUUCUUCAUCUUUAGCAGCGGGUCGCCAUGUAUGGCUGGGCUUACCCCAUGACCCAUUUGUAAUUCCUGUAAACCGAACCCGUCUUAAUAAAGUGUUGGUUUAAACUCAAAAAAUGUAAAAAAAGUAAAGUUUGGUUGUAUCCGAAAAGAAAACCAACUGGCAGCCACGGGCACAAAACUCAGAUUAAUCUGCCGCGUGCCAUAAAAUAAAAUCUAGUGUUCAUGCCGCAAGAACAUCAUAAUAUCCGUGUUUUCUGAAUUUCACUGAGCUAUUACGUGCGUUAAAACUGAAGUUACGUGAUAGAAGGGCAAAAACAUAAGUGCAGCAAACGCGGUUGGGCAAGACUGAGGGUUUUUUGAAUUUAGGGGCAAAACAAACGGGUGUGACACAACUAGUGGCAUGGAUGUAAUUGUCCCUUUUUAAUAACAUCCUAGAAGCGGACUACAUAUAACUAUAGUAAGUCAUCUAUUUGUACAACCCCAGUUCAUCCUUGCAAGACUCGGUGUUACCCAUAUGGGAUUUGGCCAGCUACACCAAAGCUGUCACAGCCCUAGAAUAUCUGAGUGUAAUAGUUGCAUCAGUGAGCAUGCAUCAUGUUUAAUUCAAGAAAUUGAAAUGAGGAAUAUUCAAAGCCUCAUAAAUUAUUUUAAAAGAAGGGCAAGAACCCUUUAAAUAGCAUUUUGUGAAUCCAAAAUGCCCUAAAAUAGUUUUGUGAAUUUUGGCAAGAGUUAUAUAUCAAACCAAAAUUCUGGAACAUUUUUAAGGAAUCAUUUGGUCUCUGAAUUUAAAUCAAUAAUCUAUUUGAAUUUGGGGAUAUAUUCAUAAUAUAUAAUGAAUAUAUUUUCAAAUGCUUUGAAAUGUUUUAUGUACUUUUGGAAUAGUCCAGAGAGGUAACAUAAAAUAUCUCAGAGUGUUUUGGCACUGUUUUGAAUUCAUUUUGAAUUUUGAAACAGUGGCAAAAGAUUAAAUAAAAAAACAACAGAAACAAAAAGCAAACAGGAGCUCACCUGAGCAGCCUACCCACCUGGCCCAGGAGAGAAGCCAGCCCACUUACCUCCUCGCUCGUCGUCUUCCUCCUGCCAGUAGGCAGGAGCGAACACGCGCGCGCACCCGCGGAGCCCUCCACCUCCUGCUUCGUGCUGGAGGCCGCUCCCUCGUCCUAGUCCGCGCCUGGGGACGCCCAGCACCCCCUCGCCCACUCCCCCGCCUCUCUGGCCUCUCCCCACCGCUCUGGCUCUCUCUCCGCAGCCGCCCGAGCACACCCGCAGCGUGCAGCUCACCGCCGCCGUGCCUAGUGGCCUCCCCUCGCCUCCCCACUUGUCUGGAAGCUCCGCACUCGUCGCGUACGUCAUCUGCGUCAACGCACACGAUCCCGGGAGCCCUACAGUAAAGCCAUCGUCGUCGUCUUCACCGACGGGCACCAAAGAUCGCCGGCUCCGAUUCACCGUCUCCAAGCCGUCCCCAAGCCGUCUGAGAUGCUCAACGACUUCGCUGUGAGGACUCCUUCGUUUUCCCCCUCCUCUCCUGCUCGUUCUCGCACCGUAGCCGUCGUCCCGCAAGCACCAAGCUCCGACCAUCACCAUGGCCGACAAAUCUCGCGCCCCGGAGCUCUUCCGCUCGCUCCAGUAGCUCCCGCGUGCUCGCUGGGUCCCCAGGAUCCCGAUGCGCCCCUCUGCGCUCUGGCUAACACGCCGCAGCCUCGCGUGUGACCGAACUCGAGCUCCGGCCUCUGCCAAAGCUCGUCGUUGCCGCCACUAAAGCCAGCCUCCGCACCUUCCGCAUCCACCACUCGACGCGUCGCAUCACCCUGAGUACGUAGAGCCCAGCCACGCUUGCUCUCGUCGCCGGAGAUGGCCGGACGGGGAGCGCCACUACGUCUCGCUUAGCACCGGCGACUAAUCGCCGUUUAGAUGACAUGGCGUCAUUAGUUUAGAGUUAAGCAUGUGCUUAAUUAGCCCCCCCCCCCCAACACAGUCACUGACACGACGGCCCCACAGAUAUUUAGCCCCGGUUUAAUAUCCACUUAACACUGAGUCUAUGACAUGCGGGCCCCCAAGAUCAGGUUUGACCAGGACCGGGUCUGUUGACCGCUGAUGUCAUCCUGACAUCAUGCUGACGUUGUUACUAUUUUCUGGAAAUUAGAAUAAAUCAGAAAAGGAUUUAUGAAUUUCAGAAAAUACUUCAAACUUCUAAAAAUCAUAGAAAAUCAACCGUAACUCCAAAUGAAAUAAAUUAUAUAUGAAAAAUUAUCAAAAAAAUUCAAGGAAUCCAUCUGUACCAUUUUCAUGCAUGUUUGAACAAUGUUUGUCCUCUGUUUUGGACAAAACAAAUAAAGGGCAUUUAAACAAUCAUAUAUGGGGUUGCAAUUUGAAUCAUGUAUUCAAACCAACUUCAUUUAAAUCAUAGCUAGAUGCAUUAGCUCAAAUCACAGCAUAUUGCCAUGUCAUGAUCAUGCAUCAUAUUGUGGCAUCACAUUGACUGUGUUCUUUCUCAAUUGUCGGUGUUUGUCCCCUCUCGAUAGACGUGGUUCCGACGACGUGAUCGAUGACACCGAUGAAGAGCUAUAAUAUCUUCAGAAGUGCCAGGCAAGCAAAACCCCCUUGUUCAUUCUGAUACAAUCUCACUCUCUCGCUCCUGCUCUCUUUUACUGCAUCAGGACAACAUCGAUUCAACUGUUACAUGCUGCGGUAGUUGAACCCCUUUCCUCUGCAUGACCUCUCAUUGCCAUAGUAAAUAGAUGAAACCCACUAGCAUGAGUAGGAAUUGUUUGAGCCCUGAUGUGCCUACUCAUUCAUGCUUGUUGUCAUGCCUGCUACUGCUUAGAGUUGAGUCCGGUCUGAUUCAUCGGGAAUGAAUUGGAACGUGGUGAACAUGUCCUACCGUUGAGAUCUAAGUGUGUGAACACGAUUUGGUAAAGGUAGUGGUGAGAGGCCAUGUAGGAGUACAUGGUGGGUUGUCUCAUUGCAGCCGUUCUCAGGACUGAGUUCUGUGUUUGUGAUCCAUGCACAGUUACUACCACACAUUGGGUUUCGGUAACUCGGCCCCUCUCAGCUUAUUAAUCAACUCGAUCUCUGUCCAGGAGUUGCAACUAGUUUCUGGUGUUUGUAGGUAGUGUUAGUAGUCUACCAAGUGGCACCCAGUACAGGUGGGCUUGGGACAGACUAGGCACAGUGGCACGGUGUACCAGGUGGCACCCGGAUGGUGGGCUUGGGAACCCUGCACACAUCGUUUGGGGCCGUGAGCGACACCCCGGCUGGAUCUCCUUGCGGAUGGAACCCGAAUAGGCGAUAAACCUGGACUAGAGGCUUGUUGGUUAGUCAGGUCGUGGCCGACUCCCUCGCCCGGCUUCCGCUUGAAGGUUGCCGAGGUACAUGACGUGUACAGGGCGAUAAGUGGCGAGAGCGUGUGUGAAGAAGUACACCCCUGCAGGGUUAUCAUUAUCUAUUCGAAUAGCCGGAUUCCUCGGAUAUGGAAACUUGGACCCCUUGCAUAGUUCAUAGACAAGUGAAAGUGGAUACUCUAAAAAUCGCAAGAUAAGCGUGAGUGCUAUGGAUGGCGUUCUCGCAGGGAGACGGGAGCGGAUCCAUAGUGGUGUAUUGGUAUGGUGAAUUUGUGGACUCGUGUGCGCCACCUCAAAAGAGUUACUUGCAGUCGUAGUUCAGGUUAGCCACUGAGUCAAAGUUGGCUUGCUGCAGUUAAACUCCACCACCCUCUUUGUUGAUACCGAUGCAUAUGUAGUUAGUUCUGAUGUAAGUCUUGCUGGGUACAUUUGUACUCACGUUUGCUUAUUUUAUGUUUUGCAGAGAGACUUCAAUCUUGCUAGUAGUUCCACGUGGGCUUCGACGUUUAGCUUGUUACCUCAGCUACGAUCUUGUACCCUUGGGAGGGUCUGGUAGAUAGUCAGGCUCCUCAGCCUUCUUCAUUUUUAGUUGUCUGUACUCAGACAAGUUAAGCUUCCGCAUGUGCUUUGACUUGUAUGCUCUGAAUGUUGGGUCAUGAGACCCAUGUUUGUAAUAUCUCGCUCUUCGGAGUCUAAUGAAUAAAUACUUGAGUCGUAGAGUUAUGUUGUGAUGCCAUGUUGUAUUUACACAUAUCGAGCAUAUUGUGUGUACGAUUGAAAUGCUUGGUGUAUGUGGGAUCCGACAACCUAGUUGUUUAUCCUUGGUAGCCUCUCUUAUGGCGAAAUGUUGUCUUGUGCUUCCAUGAGCCAUAGUAGUCCGCUACAGCCCGGUUCACUGGAGUCCUGCUAGCCCAGCACUACUGCUCAGGACACUUGACUGGCCGGCAUGUGUUUCACUUUGUUCAUGUGUCUGUCCCUUCGGGGAAAUGUCACGCGGUGACAUCCGGAGUCCUGCCUAGCCUGCUACAGCCCGGGUUUCCGGAGUCUUGUUAGCCCAGUGCUACAGCCCGGAUUCACACGCUGCUGACCAACAUGCUCGAUGUGAUACAUGUAUGCAUGUCCCCAUAGGUUGGUGCCGCUUUGGGUUCACGACUAGCCAUGUCGGCCCGGGUUCUCUGUCAUAUGGAUGCUAGCGACACUAUCAUAUACGUGAGCCAAAAGACACAAACGGUCCCGGGCCAUAGUAAGGCGACACCCGUGGGAAUACCGUGCGUGAGGCCGCAAAGCGAUAUGAGGUGUUACAUGCUAGAUCGAUGUGACUUGGAAUCGGGGUCCUGACAGCUUUGGUAUCAGAGCCUGACUGCCUGUAGGAUUACCAAGCCAAACUGGUCGAAGUCGUGUCUAGAAAUGCUUUAGUUAUAUAAGGGAAUUGAUUGUGGAUGGGAACGUAAGGCUCUUUUUACUCCUUAUCCUCAUGACCUUCUGAUCUGAGUCAUCUUAUCUUUUUUACGGGGUUAAGAACUAGGCUUCUCUUCUAUCUCUCAGGAUGACGUGUUACGAAACCGUAGUUGCCUAGGAUUGUUGAGUUCAAGCCUCAGUUCAGUUCCUACUACCUCCAUAUGUUCAUAGCCGGCCUCAGAACCUUGAUAUUGUGAUAUUGAGUGGUUAUGCCACCAUUUUUGCAGGAUAUCUCAAAUCAUUUUGAGCAUUUACAGCCGUUAUGCUGUCUGGGUCAUUCCAGGUUUCUAACUAAUCUCAUGCAUUUGCAAAUCCUUCCUCCGUUCCCGAUGUACUUUUGGUCAGAAUAAGCACACUAGCCAGAGAGUUGAGGUACUCUGCUGCCUCGACAUAUAUGUUGGAGCUAUUAUUAUGACCCUAGGUGUCUUAGAGAGUCACCUAGUAAUCUAGCAAUGUUUUGUGUUCCCAGUGUGAUGAAUCUGGCCACCAUUCUCGAAAGCAUCCCGUGAUGCCACUUAGUAGUAGGCAUUCUACUCUUGGGUUUUGAACCCGAUAUUCACCCUACUUCGUGUUGUUAGUAUUUGCUAGUUCCCUUAAGAUAUUAGUAACCUUGUGAUAGUCCUCGAGGCCCGUGGUACAUCGUUCUUCCAAUACCAUGAGCCAAUAUGGCAGAAGUUCUUUUGAACCAAAAGAUCACAACUAGAGUGCUCUUGAUGAGUUCUUCAUUCUAUAUUGUGACUCUGCCAAUUCUAUCUCUCCGCAUGGGUUAUCCGGAAGAAACCUGUUGGACUUAGUUCGACAUACUAAUCUAUGCAUCCACAACUCAAAAUGUUAUAUGUUCCUUGAGUUGUUACUCUUCACCUGUAUUCCGACCAUUGUCUAUCAUUCGAUAGUCAAGAGUAUGUCUGCAAUCAUGUUCAUCGAUGGCUAUUAUUCUUGUGGUCCGUCAAGCCGUUCUGGUUCAGCAUGACUAGGAGAAACAAAACUCCAGUACCUCAUCCAUAUCCAGGAUUGGGUCAAAGUAGUUGUAUUUCAUAGAUCAAAAUGCCAAUCCAGCUUUUGCUUUGUUCUACCUUGGAGUGUUACCAUCUUUAUGUCAGGAAUGUCAUGAGAAUUGCGCCGCCUCCUAUGAACUCUUGACAUAGUGAUACUUCUCUCCAUCAUUAUUCAUUCCUCGGUUCCGUGUUGUUGUAACCGGAAUGCCGACGAGUGAACCAUGAUGUGUGAAAUCAAUACUCCUAGCAACUGUGUUUCUUGGUAGUUAUGGACAUUAUUAUCAUUCUUAGCAUGUUGGUUAUCGAAUCACUAUUCUAGGAUUGAUCGUGCUACCUUGUCCUUAUUUCUGGUGCACUAUUCGAUCAAUGAGUUGGGAUUGUGUCAAACCCUUGCUCUAUUGGUCACAUCGUCUUGCCUUGCAAAGCAAGAUUGUUCUCGAGCUUCGUAACAUAUCGAUGGUUCGUGAAUUUCCGAAUAUCUUCUCGGAAGUGUUACCAGGUUGUCACCUGACCGCUAUGUUGAGUUCGUGAUCAAGUUGGUUUCUUGUAAACCACUCCUUCUCCAAGAAUCUGUGUUGGAUACCCCUGAGCUAGUUGGUCAAGCUAAAUAACAACUUGGAGAGUUGGAAGAAAAAAGCUUAAUCCACUUAGUUCACUCCAAAGGGGAUAUCUUGUGUGUGUGUUGACGAGAGAUGAUACCUUCAUCGAUUGUUCCUCGUGAUCGGUUGUUGAAUCUAUCAUCUUGUCCAAACCUUGAUUUGAGUGUGGGCUAUCGUCAAAUCAAGUUAGAGCCAACUAUAUUCAUAAUGUUGUCUUACUCAUGGUUGUUCCUCGAGCAUACACCAUUACAUCCUUUGGUCUGACCAAUACUAUCACAUUGUUCACUUAAUUAUGGAAUUCCAUUUAUAUGGAAACCUGGAUGAAUUGUUGUUGAGCCCAUCGACAACAUCCAUGUCCUCUCCAUGAUUUUGUCGAACAUUAAGCGAGUGUUGGAAACUUUUGAAAGCAUCUCUUCAUGCUAGCUCAUGAAGCAUAUGUUGGAUGAAAGAAGUGACUUCCUCUGAUUCACGUGCAUUUGGUGCAAGUUGCCGCCGUGAGUUCGAGAAAGUUAGUUUUUCUUCCUCUGGAAUCAUCCGAAGUCAGUCAUGCACGUGCGAAGUAUUCCAUGGUCUGAUAGACUGAUCAUCUUCAUUCCAUAUGAAUUCCAUAGCACACUAAGCCACUGAUUGACCUGUUCCAGGAAAAGAAGUUGUUGUGCUAUCCUAGGUCAUGCACAAGAUUUCGAUAUCCUCAAUGAUGGUUCCCCACCAGAACUCGGUAGUGUUUUAUUAUAAGACUACUAUGUGGUCAUACUUGUCUGGGACAACGUGUUCACAUGUUGUAGCAGAACCAACUCAUGUUUUGGAGCUUGCUAUCGCAGUUCAUUCCCCGAGAAUCUCGCAACGUCUUCUCGUCGAUUUGUGUUGCAAUCUCUCAUUUUCCUUUCUAGACUCGAUGAGUCUGGAAUAUCCUGACACCAACCAGAUCUGAAUCUCAGGCAGAUAUGAUGUUUGGAGCAUUUUCCAAGAACUAUAAUUUUGGUCCCUUGAUAACCGGUAAAGUGGAUGUCGUGACCAACACAUCCAGCCGAAAGACCUAUUAUUGUAGUAUCUCGAUUGAAGAAAGUUGGCCACCUCCCCAUGAGGAUUUCGUAGGAUUUACCUCCGUAGUUAAUCCUUACGGAUUCCUGUGCUCCCGAAGUCCGACCUUUUACUUGAUGUUCUAUAUAUCAAACCAUAUCUAUGAAUAGGAUACACUAGCACAUCAAGGAGAACAUUAGAGGCGGAGUGCUAUAUGUCUCUUGGUCGAGCAUCCAGAUUUUGUUCCCUUGGCCUCGCUAAGGUGAAAUCUGAGAAAGUGUUAUCUUCCUUUGCAUCUGCAUCACCCAUCACCAUUCAUCAUGGUGGUAUGUUGUGUUGCCAGGAUCCUUGACACGGAUAUUGGUAAAACCUUGAUGAAUAUGGAGAUGCUCAAGUUCUUGAGAGCAAGCGCAAGCACCAGGUUUUACCGUUGGCGUUAACUGGGAUUUGCUUCCAGUUUCCUUAGUUAUGUUAUAACCUUUUCAAACAGUGGACUCACUCUCGACUGUUGAGUUCUUCCCCAGUUACCAGAAUCAUUCCCAAUGUUUGCAUUUUGUUCCCAGCUUGCACCUCAGUAGUUGUUGUUCAGGAUCAUCUUCAAAAGUGGACUUACCAUGGGUCCCAUCCAUUUCCGAUGAUAAGCAAAAUCAUCCAUUGCAUUGUCUUCAACAAGGGAGUCCACAUCAUCCUUUCUAGUCCAAGUAUGUCAUUCUUUUGAACUCCUUCAAAUGAUCGAUUGUGAUUGCCUUAGGCUGGUAUAAAGAGUUUCAAUGAUCUCCGAAUCAAAAGUAAUUCUUUUUGCCACUUAAGGGAAUAAUUCUACGAGUCGUCGCCCCUGAGGUGCCCCGUUAUGGAAUCAUGGUAAUCAACUCCUCGCUACCUUGAAACCUAUGCACCAUCCUACUCAAGCGUGGGAGUGUUUCCUACCAAAUUGAACUUCCAUCAUUUGUUCUCUCCAUCCCUCUUGAUGUGUGUUUGUCUCUUAGAUCAAGAGAUUAAUCAACGUCUCAUUCCAUGAGUUUAUCAUGUAUCGCUUGAUUUUUGAGAAGAUCGAUUCCUAUAGAGUUUCUUUUUGUCAUCAUCGUGUUGGAUGGAGUUCUCAGAGCAAGACGUCGAGGCAAAGGUAAUGAUCGAAUCAACGUUCUUAUGAAGUGCAACCUGGACCGUGAAGAUUGUGCUAGCUUUGUGUUCCCUCUGUCUUCUUACCUCAUGUCUUGAAUCUCGGGACGAGAUUCUUGUUUAGUGGGGGCGAGUUGUCACAGCCCUAGAAUAUCUGAGUGUAAUAGUUGCAUCAGUGAGCAUGCAUCAUGUUUAAUUCAAGAAAUUGAAAUGAGGAAUAUUCAAAGCCUCAUAAAUUAUUUUAAAAGAAGGGCAAGAACCCUUUAAAUAGCAUUCUGUGAAUCCAAAAUGCCCUAAAAAUAGUUUUGUGAAUUUUGGCAAGAGUUAUAUAUCAAACCAAAAUUCUGGAACAUUUUUAAGGAAUUAUUUGGUCUCUGAAUUUAAAUCAAUAAUCUAUUUGAAUUUGGGGAUAUAUUCAUAAUACAUAAUGAAUAUAUUUUCAAAUGCUUUGAAAUGUUUUAUGUACUUUUGGAAUAGUCCAGAGAGGUAACAUAAAAUAUCUUAGAGUGUUUUGGCACUGUUUUGAAUUCAUUUUGAAUUUUGAAACAGUGGCAAAAGAUUAAAUAAUAAAAAAACAGCAGAAACAAAAAGGAAACAGGAGCUCACCUGAGCAGCCUACCCACCUGGCCCACGAGAGAAGCCGGCCCAGCCCACUUACCUCCUCGCUCGUCGUCUUCCUCCUUCCGGUAGGCAGGAGCGAACACGGGCGCGCACCCGCGGAGCCCUCCACCUCCUGCUUCGCGCUGGAGGCCGCUCCUUCGUCCUAGUCCGCGCCUGGAGACGCCCAGCACCCCCUCGCCCACUCCCCCGCCUCUCUGGCCUCUCCCCACCGCUCUGGCUCUCUCUCCGCAGCCGCCCGAGCACACCCGCAGCGCGCAGCUCACCGCCGCCGUGCCUAGUGGCCUCCGCUCGCCUCCCCACUUGUCUGGAAGCUCUGCACUCGUCGCAUACGUCGUCUUCGUCAACGCACACGACGCCGGGAGCCCUACAGUAACGCCAUCAUCGUCGUCUUCACCGACGGGCACCGAAGAUCGCCAGCUCCAAUUCACCGUCUCCAAGCCGUCCCUAAGCCGUCUGAGAUGCUCAACGACUUCGCUGUGAGGACUCCUUCAUUUUCCCCCUCCUCUCCUGCUCGUUCCCGCGCCGUAGCCGUCGUCCCCGCAAGCACCGAGCUCCAGCCAUCGCCAUGGCCGACAAACCUCGCGCCCCGGAGCUCUUCCGCUCGCUCCAGUAGCUCCUGCGUGCUCGCCGGGUCCCCAGGAUCCCGAUGCGCCCCUCUGCGCUCUGGCUAAUGCGCCGCAGCCUCGCGCGUGACCGAACCCGAGCUCCGGCCUCCGCCAAAGCUCGUCGUUGCCGCCGCUAAAGCCAGCCUCCGCACCUGCCGCAUCCACCACCCGAAACAUCGCGUCGCCCUAAGUACGUAGAGCCCAGCCACGCUUGCUCUCGUCGCCGGAGAUGGCCGGACGGGGAGCGCCGCUGCGUCUCGCUUAGCACCGGCGACUAAUCACCGUUUAGAUGACAUGGCGUCAUUAGUUUAGAGUUAAGCGUGUGCUUAAUUAGCCCCCCCCCAACACAGUCACUGACACGCCGGCCCCGCAGAUAUUUAGCCCCGGUUUAAUAUCCACUUAACACUAAGUCUAUGACAUGCGGGCCCCUAAGAUCAGGUUUGACGAGGACCGGGUCUGUUGACCGCUGAUGUCAUCCUGAUAUCAUGCUGACGCUGUUACUAUUUUCUGGAAAUUAGAAUAAAUCAGAAAAGGAUUUAUGAAUUUCAGAAAAUACUUCAAACUUCUAAAAAUCAUAGAAAAUCAACCGUAACUCCAAAUGAAAUAAAUUAUCAGAAAAACUCAAGGAAUCCAUCUGUACCAUUUUCAUGCAUGUUUGAACAAUGUUUUUCCUCUGUUUUGGACAAAACAAAUAAAGGGCAUUUAAACAAUCAUAUAUGGGGUUGGAAUUUGAAUCAUGUCUUCAAACCAACUUCAUUUAAAUCAUAGCUAGAUGCAUUAGCUCAAAUCACAGCAUAUUGCCAUGUCAUGAUCAUGCAUCAUAUUGUGGCAUCACAUUGAUUGUGUUCUUUCUUAGUUGCCGGUGUUUGUCCCCUCUCGAUAGACGUGGUUCCGACGACGUGAUCGAUGACACCGAUGAAGAGCUAUAAUAUCUUCAGAAGUGCCAGGCAAGCAAAACCCCCUUGUUCAUUCCGAUACAAUCCCACUCUCUCGCUCCUGCUCUCUUUUACUGCAUUAGGACAACACCGAUUCAACUGUUACAUGUUGCGGUAGUUGAACCCCUUUCCUCUGCAUGACCUGUCAUUGCCACAGUAAAUAGAUGAAACCCACUAGCAUGAGUAGGAAUUGUUUGAGCCCUGAUGUGCCUACUCAUUCAUGCUUGUUGUCAUGCCUGCUACUGCUUAGAGUUGAGUCCGGUCUGAUUCAUCGGGAAUGAAUUGGAACGUGGUGAACAUGUCCUAUCGUUGAGAUCUAAGUGUGUGAACACGAUUUGGUAAAGGUAGUGGUGAGAGGCCAUGUAGGAGUACAUGGUGGGUUGUCUCAUUGCAGCCGUUCUUAGGAACUGAGUUCUGUGUUUGUGAUCCAUGAACAGUUACUACCACACAUUGGGUUCUGGUAACUCGGCCCCUCUCAGCUUAUUAAUCAACUCGAUCUCUAUCCAGGAGUUGCAACUAGUUUCUGGUGUUUGUAGGUAGUGUUAGUAGUCUACCAAGUGGCACCCGGUACAGGUGGGCUUGGGACAGACUAGGCACAGUGGCACGGUGUACCAAGUGGCACCCAGAUGGUAGGCUUGGGAAUCCUGCACACAUCGUUUGGGGCCGUGAGCGACACCCCGGCCGGAUCUCCUUGCGGAUGGAACCCGAAUAGGCGAUAAACCUGUACUAGAGACUUGUUGGUUAGUCAGGUCGUGGCCGACUCCCUCGCCCGACUUCCGCUUGAAGGUUGCCAAGGUACAUGACGUGUACAGGGCGAUAAGUGGCGAGAGCGUGUGUGAAGAAGUACACCCCUGCAGGGUUAUCAUUAUCUAUUUGAAUAGCCGGAUUCCUCGGAUAUGGAAACUUGGACCCCUUGCAUAGUUCAUAGACAAGUGAAAGUGGAUACUCUAAAACUCGCAAGAUAAGCGUGAGUGCUAUGGAUGGCGUUCUCGCAGGGAGACGGGAGCGGAUCCAUAGUGGUGUAUUGGUAUGGUGAAUUUGUGGACUCGUGUGCGCCACCUCAAAAGAGUUACUUGCAGUCGUAGUUCAGGUUAGCCACUGAGUCAAAGCUGGCUUGCUGCAGUUAAACUCCACCACCCUCUUUGUUGAUACCGAUGCAUAUGUAGUUAGUUCUGAUGUAAGUCUUGAUGGGUACAUUUGUACUCACGUUUGCUUAUUUUAUGUUUUGCAGAGAGACUUCAAUCUCGCUAGUAGUUCCACGUGGGCUUCGACGUUUAGCUUGUUACCUCAGCUACGAUCUUGUACCCUUGCGAGGGUCUGGUAGAUAGUCAGGCUCCUCAGCCUUCUUCAUUUUUAGUUGUCUGUACUCAGACAAGUUAAGCUUCCGCAUGUGCUUUGACUUGUAUGCUCUAAAUGUUGGGUCAUGAGACCCAUGUUUGUAAUAUCUCGCUCUUCGGAGCCUAAUGAAUAAAUACUUGAGUCGUAGAGUUAUGUUGUGAUGCCAUGUUGUAUUUACACAUAUCGAGCAUAUUGUGUGUAUGAUUGAAAUGCUUGGUAUGUGUGGGAUCUGACAACCUAGUUGUUUAUCCUUGGUAGCCUCUCUUAUGGGGAAAUGUUGUCUUGUGCUUCCAUGAGCCAUGGUAGUCCGCUACAGCCCGGUUCACCGGAGUCCUGCUAGCCCAGCACUACUGCUCAGGACACUUGACUGGCCGGCAUGUGUUUCACUUCGUUCAUGUGUCUGUCCCUUCGGGGAAAUGUCACGCGGUGACAUCCGGAGUCCUGCCUAGCCUGCUACAGCCCGGGUUUCCGGAGUCCUGUUAGCCCAGUGCUACAGCCCGGAUUCACACGCUGCUGACUGACAUGCUCGAUGUGAUACAUGUAUGCCUGUCCCCAUAGGUUGGUGCCGCUUUGGGUUCACGACUAGCCAUGUCGGCCCAGGUUCUCUGUCAUAUGGAUGCUAGCGACACUAUCAUAUACGUGAGCCAAAAGACGCAAACAGUCCCGGACCAUAUUAAGGCGACACCCGUGGGAAUACCGUGCGUGAGGCCGCAAAGCGAUAUGAGGUGUUACAUGCUAGAUCAAUGUGACUUGGAAUCGGGGUCCUGACAAAAGCUGAGGUAGAAUUUCUUCCCUUUUGAUGUUUUCCAAGUUUAUAACACCUAUAUCCCGGCAGCAAUUCUUAUAUUCCGAAGCACAUGUAUCAUCAUCAGUGAAGUAGACACAAUUUGGCUUCAGCUGAGAGAAUUCUUCAGCGCUAAGGUAUUACGACUGGUUACACCCAAGAAAUAGCACUUGAUCAUGCAAGUCGUUUAAUAACACAAGAUCUUUUGCUACCAUGUCAACCUUAUAUAACAAUAUGUUGUUAGUCACAAAUAUGAACUCCUCCUCCUCAUCAUCAUCAGUAUCUUGGAUUUCCGAAUUCCUGUGAACUUGCAGCAGAUCACCGGAUGGAGCCUGGAGAACGUACAGCUGCCCUAGAGUAUAAGUCUUCAUGUCGCUUAUAAUUCUAUUCCUUGUAAUGGUAGGACUAUGGAGAUCAAAUGUAUCGAUUUGUCCAAAGCUCGUGAAGGCAUACAAUAGGCCAUCCAUGUAGAUGCAGUCUUGAUAGUCAUAACCCAACGGCAGCAAGGUCCACUUACAAUCUCCUACCCUUGCAAACGAAAGCUGCUGCGAUUCACUGUGGGUGAGAACCACAAUGUAGCUUCCUGUGGAUGGGUCAGGAAAUAUACGUGCCCUAAUGUAGAACAAGUCACGAAGCUUGUCGAGAGCAUGGGUUGACUUAUGGUGACCAUCCACUUCAUAGUCUAGCUCAAUGUCGUGCUUCAGCUCCCACCACUCGUACUCCUUAAUUGUGCCUGCGUCGUCAAAGACCGGCUUCACCCUCUCGUUGGUGAUCACUGAGGGAGAGCAAUCUGUUGACAGGUGAUCGGAUUGAGAAGGUGUAGCUCGGACUUCUCGUCAGCGGUGAUCAGCCAGCCGUGUGAGGACCCAAUCAGAUAUCUAUUUCGGAUGGGUGGAUCCGGAAGAGUCAGAUUGUAGACCCGCUUUUCCGCGAGGCUGUAGAGACAAGCUAUGUUGUCAGCGGCAGAUUCAGAGGUGUAGAGGAGGCAAGGCAUCUGGGGCCGUUUGUACAGCUCAAGCUCGCUGCGUAGGCUGGUAUAAACAGACCGCCAGCAGGAGCAGACGGAGCCCGCACGCGUGAGGUCUGGGAUCUCCAGGAGGGCGAAGAUAUCCAUCAAUACGUCCCGCGGCAGCUCCGGCAAACUUCUGACCGCAAUCUCAGUCUCCAUCGGCGGUGGGUCUUCUCUAAAUUUCAGUGGUGAACGGGGCAGCUACAGAACUACGAGUAGGUCUUUUGGAUUGUAAUCUGAUCUAGUACAAGGCGAACACACACCCCGGCUGUACUUAUAGGUGCUAGGUGAACCAACCCAGGCCGAACCGAAUAUGAACGGGGGGUGACCUCACUUGUAACCCGAGUAGGAAACGGGGCCGAACGAGAACGCGAGACCCACUUGAGACAGUUGGUGGUCGCUCCUACUCUGGUCACUGCACUCAGCGAGGACCCUGGCACGCCGCACUGUGCAGGUCGCCGGAGUCGCUGGCUCGCUGCUACCAAGGUCCAGUCGGGGGAGGCACAGCGGUGGCUGAGCAAGGAGAGGAUGGGGAGCGCCGGAAGAGCAGCAUGCCGGCGACCUGGAUGGGCGGCGUGCGGCAGCAGCAAGAGGUGGGGGCCGCGAGCUGCAGCAACACUGGGCGACGGGGAGAAGCGACAGAACGGGGCGGCGGCCAGAAGCGACAGAACAGGGUGACGCCUCUUUCAUUUCUUAAGUGAACAAAGCAUAAAUGUGCAGCUCCUAUGUAUUAACAUUUUAUCCUCAAAGAAAAAAAGAAUGAGUUUAAAUGAAGAAAGAACACAUCAUCAAGAUUUGAAAGUAAGGUGUGGCAAAUAAUCGAUUUCAAUGUAAGUAGUGACAAAUUCUCAAAAGUGCCAAAUUUCCGUGUGUCAUGACGGUAACACGUAUGCAUGUGACGGAGUAGAGGGUGGCGGUGCAAGAUAGGGAUGCAAUGUUGUCUGGAGAAAAUAUAAGGAGUAAAAUGCCUGAUAUAUUCAAUGCUACUAGAUACCAUUUUGUUGGGUCUCUAUCCCUUUACAUAAAAAAAUUACUUUGAAAAAACCUUGUUUGGGAGUUAAUCCACCCUCAUCCAAAAAAAUACCUCAAGAAAACCUUUUUUGGGGGGAGUUAACCCACCCUAAUUCUUUCACUGUAGUCUUAUAACUCUUAAAUAAAUUAGGGGGUGGGGCAGAGGUUUGUCUUGUAGCGGGUUCAUCGAUGGAGAACUUGGAUGAAUGGCAAAAGGGAAGGACAUGUUCAUCUCCACAUGGGAAAGCCUUGGUCCCACAAAGGGUAAGGCAUGAGACAAGUUUUCUAUCAAAGUUUUGUUUUAUAUGUCAUGUCUCGCACUAGAUCUUAGGAGGGAUACAACUUAUAUAGUUUCCUUCUAAAGUGUUUGUGUAGGACCUGGGUUAUAUGGACUAGGUGGGGUGUGAAUAGUCCUAUAAAAAUGUCUACUCUAAAUUUUAUUUUGAAAAGGUAUAGCCUUUUUUAUUUGGAACCUUAAGAACACAUACACGUGAAUGUCUACAACAAAGCACAAAUGCAUAAGGAAACUUACAAGAAUGUAAGAGUUAGGGAAAAGAGAUUGCAAGCACUGCUAACACAUCGAUGUUUUUCCGAUGUUCCGAUGGUUAGCAUUAUCCCACUCCUUGUUGGCGGGGGUUGAGACACAAAGUCCUAACACCACAAAUGUCCCGACAACGUAGACCACAAAGAGCCCACAAAAUGCAUUCCCAUAUAUUCCACCAUGGCUUGAUACCACUAAGGUCAAAGUCUCACCCGGGGUUGAUCUUGAAGGAAAUAUGCCCUAAAGGCAAUAAUAAAGUUGUUAUUUAUAUUUCCUUAUAUCAUGGUAAAUGUUUAUUAUUCAUGCUAGAAUUGUAUUAACCGGAAACUUACUACAUGUGUGAAUACAUAGACAAACAGAGUGUCACUAGUUUGCCUCUACUUAACUAGCUCGUUGAAUCAAUGAUGAUUAUGUUUCCUAACCAUAAACAUGAGUUGUCAUUUGAUUAACGGGAUCCCAUCAUUAGAGAAUGAUCUGAUUGACUUGACCCAUCCGUUAGCUUAGCACGAUGAUCGUUUAGUUUGCUGCUAUUGCUUUCUCUAUAACUUAUACAUGUUCCUAUGACUAUGAGAUCAUGCAACUCCCGAAUACCGGAGGAACACUUUGUGUGCUACCAAACGUCACAACGUAACUGGGUGAUUAUAAAGGUGCUCUAUAGGUGUCUCCGAUGGUGUUUAUUGAGUUGGCAUAGAUCGAGAUUAGGAUUUGUCACUCCGAUUGUCGGAGAGGUAUCUCUGGGCCCUCUCGGUAAUGCACAUCACUAUAAGCCUUGCAAGCAAUGUGACUAAUGAUUUAGUUGCAGGAUGAUGCAUUACGGAACAAGUAAAGAGACUUGCCGGUAACGAUAUUGAACUAGGUAUUGAGAUACCGACGAUCGAAUCUCGGGCAAGUAACAUACCGAUGACAAAGGGAACAACGUAUGUUGUUAUGCGGUUUGACCGAUAAAGAUCUUCUUAGAAUAUGUAGGAGCCAAUAUGAGCAUCCAAGUUCCGCUAUUGGUUAUUAACCGGAGACAUGUCUCGGUCAUGUCUACAUAGUUCUCGAACCCGUAGGGUCCGCACGCCUAACGUUUGGUGACGAUCGGUGUUACGAGUUUAUGUGUUUUGAUGUACCGAAGAUAGUUCAGAGUCCCGAAUGUGAUCAUGGACAUGACGAGGAGUCUCGAAAUGGUCGAUACAUAAAGAUUGAUAUAUUGGACGACUAUAUUCGGACACCGGAUGAGUUCCGAGGGUCACCGGAUAUUUAUCAAAGUGUCGGGGGGGGUUAACGGAACCCCCGGGGGAACUAAUGGGCCAACAUGGGCCUUGUGGGAGAGAGAGGAGAGGGCCUAGGGCUGGCCUCCCCCCCUUGGGAGUCCGAAUUGGACAAGGAGGGGGGCGGCGCCCCCACUUUCCUCCCUCUCUCCCUCUCCUUCAUUCCCCCUUCCCCCUUCCUAGUUGGAAUAGGAAAAGGGGAGUCCUACUCCUACUAGGAGGAGGACUCCCCCUCUCCUUGGCGCGCCCCAAGGCCGGCCGGCCUCCCCCUUGAUCCUUUACAUACGGGGGCAGGGGGCACCCUAGAACACACAAGUUGAUUGUUUCCAGCCGUGUGCGGUGCCCCCCUCCACCAUAAUCCACCUCGGUCAUAUCGUAGCAGUGCUUAGGCGAAGCCCAGUUCCGGUAGCAUCAUCAUCGCCGUCAUCACGCUGUCGUGCUGACGAAGCUCUCCCUUGAAGCUCUACUGGAUCAUGAGUUCAUGGGACGUCAACGAGCCGAACGUGUGCAGAUCGCGGAGGUGUUGUACCUUCGGUGCUAGGAUCGGUCGAUCGUGAAGACGCAUGACUACAUCAACCCCGUUGUCAUAACGCUUCCGCUUAUGGUCUACGAGGGUGCGUAGACAACACUCUCCCCUCUCGUUGCUAUGAAUCACCAUGAUCUUGCGUGUGCGUAGGAUAUUUUUUUUGAAAUUACUGCGUUCCCCAACAGGUCUUCCACGAAGAAGGCAAUUACUGUAACUUAUACAAACUUUUCAUUCCUUCACAUGUUGAAGGCUCUCAAAUGACUCAUAACCAUCUAGGAGGUCCACACCCUCAAAGAGUAACAAACUAAGCAAAAUCACUUGGAUGAACUUCUCAAAAGAUCUUCAAUUGACUCUCUCAAGAACACAUAAGGUCACUCUCACACACAAAGCUAGCUUGAAGCGAUGAGAGAUGGAGCACAAAGGCAACGAGUUCAAGAAAGGGAGGAGCAUGGCCUUCAAUCUCUCAAAGUUCUGCUAUGAAAGAUGUUUCCAAGUCUCUCCGAAACAUGCAAUCAACUCAAGGGUUAUGAGGAUAUAUUUAUAUGCAAAGAGAGGGGGCAGAGAGAAGAAAUCUAACCAUUACUUGAAAAACCUAACUAGCCGGAAAGCUCGGGAAGAAGGACAUCGAGGGAGGUGGCAUUGUCCUUAUUGGAUGGUAGAAGAGAUUCCCGACGAAGGUGGACAUGCUCGGGAUGGCUCGUUCGCAGGUGGGCAACAAGGAGUCAUGAGUGGCUCCUAGAGCCUACCGCUCCCCGCCAUUCUUCGGCUCCCGUGCUCCUCUGGCUCUACCGCCCCUGCCUAUGUGUUUCUGGUAACCUCCUGGAUCUAGCGCCCCUCUUCUAUCUCUCCCUCUGAUACCCUAUAUCCCCACCGCGCCUAGCGACGCCCGCCAACCGCCACUAGAGCUCAACCUCAACCCGAUUCUGGCAACCCUGAGGCCUUGCAAAUGCAUCCCGCUCCGUGGUAGCAUCUGUGUGAGUUCUCGCACCUCACACACAUUCCCCUAGCAUGUUCCCGCGCUGCUCCGCCAUGUUUAUUGGUCGCCGACAUUCAAAUAGCCAGUGGGACCUUGCUAGGUGCAUCCCAUGCAUUAGCCACGGAUCACUUGGCCACAUAUUAAUUAAUCUAGUAAGACAAUUUCAAAAUUCUCCUUUUUCUUUUUUAGUUGCCCGUAUGUGAGCGACAUAGGUGGGGUGGAGGUGUUUUUUAUUUUCUUCUUUCUAGGUAGGUCCCAUAUGUAGUACUCCUACCUUGAGACUUGAGAGGCUUAGAACAACUACAACUGGUCCCCUCAAAUUCUCCCCCAAACGGUCUAGGAGGACAUCUCGAUCACUACCCGACAUAAAAGAGAAGAAAAAAAGUCAGUCAACCGGACCCCCCCCCCCACUUCAUCCUCANNNNNNNNNNNNNNNNNNNNNNNNNNNNNNNNNNNNNNNNNNNNNNNNNNNNNNNNNNNNNNNNNNNNNNNNNNNNNNNNNNNNNNNNNNNNNNNNNNNNNNNNNNNNNNNNNNNNNNNNNNNNNNNNNNNNNNNNNNNNNNNNNNNNNNNNNNNNNNNNNNNNNNNNNNNNNNNNNNNNNNNNNNNNNNNNNNNNNNNNNNNNNNNNNNNNNNNNNNNNNNNNNNNNNNNNNNNNNNNNNNNNNNNNNNNNNNNNNNNNNNNNNNNNNNNNNNNNNNNNNNNNNNNNNNNNNNNNNNNNNNNNNNNNNNNNNNNNNNNNNNNNNNNNNNNUAGGUCCCAUAUGUAGUACUCCUACCUUGAGACUUGAGAGGCUUAGAACAACUACAACUGGUCCCCUCAAAUUCUCCCCCAAACGGUCUAGGAGGACAUCUCGAUCACUACCCGACAUAAAAGAGAAGAAAAAAAGUCAGUCAACCGGACCCCCCCCCCACUUCAUCCUCAUAUGUCCGGGCAUUCUGCAAACCCUCAUACCCCUCCUAUACAUGGGAAGGAUAUGGGAUGCCCAGGCGCGGGCGGUCAAUGUGCCAUAUAGGAUUUGGCCCGGGCCAUCUUUUCUUUUUGUAGGAUCGAAAGUAUGUCUAGAGGGGGGUGAUUAGACUACUUGACCAAAUAAAAAUCUAGCCUUUUCCCAAUUUUAGUUCUAGGAAAAUUUUAGCAACGUAGCACAAGUCAAGCAAUCAACCUACACAUGCAAUUCUAAAAGUAUGGCAGCGGAAAGUAAAACAAUUGCAUAUGAAGGUAAAGGGAGGAGUUUGGAGUGUGCAAACGCAAUUGGAGACACGGAGAUUUUUGGCAUGGUUCCGAUAGGUGGUGCUAUCGUACAUCCACGUUGAUGGAGACUUCAACCCACGAAGGGUAAUGGUUGCGCGAGUCCACGGAGGGCUCCACCCACGAAGGGUCCACGAAGAAGCAACCUUGUUUAUCCCACCAUGGCCUUCGCCCACGAAGGACUUGCCUCACUCGGGUAGAUCUUCACAAAGUAGGCGAUCUCCUUGCCCUUACAAACUCCUUGGUUCAACUCCACAAUCUUGACGGAGGCUCCCAAGUGACACCUAACCAAUCUAGGAGACACCACUCUCCAAGAGGUAAUAAAUGGUGUGUUGAUGAUGAACUCCUUGCUCUUGUGCUUCAAAUGAUAGUCUCCCCAACACUCAACUCUCUCUUACAGGAUUUGAAUUUGGUGGAAAGAUGAUUUGAGUGGAAAGAAAGUUGGGGAAGGCUAGAGAUCAAGAUUUAUGUGGUUGGAGUGGGAUAUCUGGACCUCAACACAAGUGUAGGUGGUUCACUCUUAGAAAAUAUAUGUUGGAAGUGUAGGCAUGUUAUGAUGGCUCUCUCCAUAAAUGAAGAGUGGGUGGAGGGGUAUAAAUAGCCUCCACACAAAAUCUAACCGUUACACACAGAUCACCAAACUCAGUGGGACCGAAUCAUGAAACUCGGUCAGACCGAUUUAGUUCAAAAUGUGAACGUUAGGAUUUUCGGUGGGACCGACAUGUCAACUCGAUGGGACCAAUUUUGUUAGGGUUAGGGCAUAACGUAAUCUCGGUGAGACCGAUUACACAAACUCGGUGAGACCGAUUCUGGUAAUGGACUAACAGAGAGUUGGUCAGGCAAACUCGAUGGGACCGAUUCGCUCAUCUCGGUUGGACCAAAACGUUACGAAAGGGAAACAUAGAGUUUGCAUUGUAAUCUCGGUGGGACUGAUCGCUCAUCACGGUUUGACCGAAACGUUACGAAGGGAAACAGAGAGAUUACAAUCCCAUCUCGGUGAGACCGAGAUCCCUAUUGGUGAGACCGGAAAUACUAGGGUUUCUGGAGUGGCUAUGUUAACUGAACUCGGUGGUGCCGGAUAGAAAGUUUCGAUGGGGCCGAGUUUGAAUUUUGGUUUGGGACAUAUGUGGAUGUGAUAAAGUAGUUGAGGGCUUUUGGAGCAUAUCACUAAGCACUUUGAGCAAGCAAGCCAUUAGGCAACACCUCAUCCCCUCUUAAUAGUAUUGGCUUUUCGUAUGGACUCAAUCUGAUCUUGGAUCACUUAAAAUGAAAAGAUGUAGAGUCCUGAGCUUUGAGCUUCAGCCAAUUCUUUGUCCUUAGAAUUUUGAGGGAUCCACUUUUCUCAUCCAUGCCAUGCCAAUCACUGAGCUUUCCUGAAAUGUUUAUCUUUAAGUAGCAUUAGCUCAAUGAGUUAUAUGUUGUUAGGAAUUACCAAAACCAUCCAGGGAUAGUUACACUUUCAAUCUCCCCCUUUUUGGUAAUUGAUGACAACAUAUAGAUCAAAGCUUCGACAAAUGAUAAAUAAGAUUAAAAAACUUCAUCGCUUUGAGAAGUAUGUGAUAAGCAAGAGCUCCCCCUAAAUUUGUGCAUUACUUAAAAUUUGCUUUUGAAUGCAAAUGCACAAUCGAUUAGGAUCAUGGGUUACUCUUCCAUGUCACAUACAUCUUGGUGGAGCACUCAAAAUGAUAGAGAUUAAAAGCAUGCACUCAUCACCAAGCUAGUGAAUAAUAAAAUAAGGAUAUAAGAGAUGAUAUUAUCCAACAAGCAUUAAGGAUAGCAUAUGAUCAAACACAUGAUCAACAAGUAUCUCACAAGGACAAAAAGUAUCUCACACAAGUACUCAAUAAAGAAGUUCAACCAAAAUAGCAAGAGAGAUAAAAAGAACAACUCUCUCUCUUGAAGCCUAUGAUCUUGUCGGCGUUCUGGGAACGGGGGUCCCCAGACUUGCCUGCCUGCGGCCUGCGGCGUGGCUCAAAGGGGGGGGCCCAGCGCGGCCCAUCUUCACCAACACAAACCCAAGACCCUCGCGAGGGGCCAAGCCUCGUGGGGCAGACGACGCGGAGCUUCCUCAGGCACGGCCUCAUCAGGCUGGCUCACGAGGAGGCGGAGAGACCAAGGCAGGAUGCCUCACGAGGUGCCUGUGACGCAAGCCAUGAAGACCGAGGGCGCCAGGCGGGUGCCAGCCCACGCAGCGUCCUCCUUUCCUCUUUGGUGCAAAGGGGGCAAGCGCAGCCGCGGAGUACCGAGGCAUCAGGCAAAGGUUGCCAUUUCGGUGCAACGAGACCAAGACCAGGAGGACUACGAGAUGGAGGUCACCGUGGAGCCCAAGACAGCGUCAUCACCAGAGCUUUGCGCAGGCGAAGACUACUUUUGUCAGGAUAGCUGAUACUAGCUGUCCCCCUUCAAAUUAGCCCGCCAUUGUUGGCUCCCUUCCCGCUCGAUAUUUGGGAAGAGGACCAGGGCCUGUAUAAAUAGGGUCAGCCACUCGCAAGAGAGGGAGAGGAGAAAAAAGAGGGAAGAGAAGGGGGUUCGAAGGAAGAGGCUCUUUAGAGAGGGGUUUCCAUCAGAAAGAGAGAGAGAGAGAAAGGUGACUGAACUCCUCCCAGCAGUUCAUCGCCCCAGCCAAGAACAGAUCCUCGCGAGAUUGUUCUUCCUUGUGUUGUUCAUCAUCAUCAGCCCAAGAGGCAAUCCACCACACCAUACACUGGAGUAGGGAAUUACACCACAACGGUGGCCCGAACCAGUAUAAACCAUGUGUCUCUUAUGUUGUUCUUUCCUUAGUUUAGAUCCUAGCAAGGCGGAGGGGUGCAGGUAGGUAGGAGGCGAAAUCUCCGCGCGCACCCCAGUGUUCGAACCUCAAGGGUCUGGCGGAACCCGAAAUCCGACAUUUGGCGUGCCAGGUAGGGGUGCGCUGGGAUUCGUCUUCCACCACCCCGUUCUCCUCCGACCAUCAUGCCCAUGUCUAAUGCUCGUCAGGCCCGCGCCGAGCACCGGGCCGCGCUCGCUUCCCGCGUCACCCAGAUGGCCUCUGUCGGCGGGCGUCCUCGCCGUUCCCCGUCACUUGCCGUCAAUGCCGCCAUCGGCCCAGCGGGGGACGAGCAGCAAGCAUCGUCCCAGCAUCCGUCCGUGCGGCAAGACGGCCGCACCUCAACUCCCUUGCUCACCCCAGCUGGUUCUUCGUCCCGCGCGCUCCGCGUGCCCAUGGAGGCUCGGGCUGCACUCAUCGCGGCAAACGAGCUCCUGCGCUACCGUCCCGUCGACGACGUCUACGAAGAAUGGCUCGACCGCGUCGCCGAGCUCGUCCGCGCCGCAGGGGGCUCUCCUGCGCCGUCCGUUCCGCUGCACCACACCCCGCCCCGCGCGGGCGAUGAAGCUCCGGCGGCGCCCCGGCCGCCUCCUCCUCAGGACGGCGCCAUGGCUCCAAGGCGCGUGGCCCCUGGGCGGAACCCGCUCUGUCAGGUGCCAGCGCGGCAAGAGCAGAGCUGUCAAGAAGUCCCUCGCCCGCAAGAAGCUGCCCGGGCGCUCCCUGCUCCAGCACGUUGCGACCAUGCUCCUGCUCCCGCGCGUCAAUACCCUGCGCUGCUCCCAGCUGCAGCGCGUGGGGACAUGCAAGACCAAGCUCCCCAUCAUCCAAGGCCUCCCGUGGCCACAGCAGGCUGACGUGCCUUCACCGCCGAGCUAUGCAGCGUCGCGUGGCCCGGCAAGUUCAAGCCGGACUUGCCUCCUCGCUAUGACGGCACGGCUGACCCUGCGGAGUUCCUCCAGCUCUACGAGUUGGGCAUCGAAGCUGCCAACGGAGACGAGAAGGUCAUGGCGAACUAGUUCCCCAUGGCGCUCAAGGACGGGGCCCACACCUGGCUCCUGAACCUGGCUCCAGGCACAAUCUCCUUCUGGGACAAGAUGAGCACCCGCUUCAUCGCCAACUUCCAGGGCACUCGCGACCGGCCACCCGCCGUGAGCGACAUGCGCCGCAUCAAGCAACAGCCCGGGGAGACCCUGCAGAAGUACAUCCAGCGCUUCAACAACGCAUGCCUCAAGAUUCCCAAGGUGACUGAGGAGGCCAUCAUCUCGGCCUUCUCCGACGGCAUGCGCGGCAUCAAGAUGAAGGAGGAGCUGGCGAUGCAUGAAGACCUGUGCACUUCCUUGGAGCUGUUCAACCUGGCAACCAAGUGUGCCAGGGCCGAGGAAGGGCGUCUCUCCCUCCUCGAGCUGCCUGCCGCAGACCCAGAAGAGAAGAAGCCCAAGGCCAAGGAUGUGAAACGCAAGGGGGCUGCCGUGCUCGCGGCAGAACCAGACACCAAGCGGGGCAGAGAUCAGCCCGAACCUUCCAAGGGCGGCCGGUACUGUGUGUACCACGACCUCCACACCCACAACACCAACGAAUGUCAAGAGCUCCGAGCCGUGCGAGAAGGAAGGAUCGGCCGUCGCCCUGACCGCGGUGAGGGGCUACGGUCGAGGAGAAGGAAGGAACGCAGGACGCUGGGAAGACCGUGGCCCGCGCCAAGGGUGGCACGAUCAACCUCGCGAGGAUCGCUGGCAAGACCCGCCUCACAAGGGAGGCUGGAGGGAUCAGCCUCGCGAGGGAGACUGGAGGGAUCAGCCUCGCGAGGAUCGCCCGCAAGGCAACGCAGGCCUCCCACCGCUGCCGCCGCGGCCAAGGAGAAACGAGGACCGCCACCAGGACGAGGGGGCUGGGGGCUUCCAGGAGCCGCGCGUGAUCGCCUACAUCCUGGGCGGGGCACAAGCCCCAGCCUCUCAGCGCAUCUUCAAGCAGUUCGCCCGUGAAGUGAACGCAGUCCUCCCCAGGCUCGAAGCCAUGCGCCCUCUCAGGUGGUCGGCGUGCGCCAUCACGUUCAGCUCAGCAGAUCAGCUCAAGUGUGCGGCUACAGCCGGAGUCCUCCCGAUGCUUUGUUCCCCAAUCGUCAGCAAUGUGGUGGUCACCAAGACCCUCAUCGAUGGCGGGGCAGGGCUCAACGUCCUGUCCGUGGAGACAUUCAACAACCUCCAAGUGCCCUACAGCCAGCUUCAGCCAACCAAGCCUUUCUCCGGUAUCACCGACGGCUCCACAGUCCCGAUUGGGUAAGUCCGCCUCCCUGUCACCUUCGGGGCAUGCGACAACUACCGCACCAAGCUCAUCGACUUCGACGUCGCUCACAUUCGCCUGCCGUACAACACCAUCCUUGGGUACCCAGCUCUGGCCAAGUUCAUGGUCGUAACUCACCACGGCUACAACGUCCUCAAGAUGCCCGAAAGCGGCGGAGUCAUCACGGUGCCCUGUGAAGAGAAGGACGCGGUGUGUUCUCUAGAACGAGUCUUUCCGGCCGCGUCACUGGAAGACCCGGAUCGUGGAAGCAGGAGGCCUCCCGAGACCGCCCCUAAGAAGAAGACAUCGUCCGGCCCGACCACUCAGGAGGCAGGCCCCACUGGGCCCGCACCUGCCCAGGGGGAACCUCCUUCCAUCGCAUAGGAAAGCGCGCCCGGCGCCCUCCUCAGGCAGGGCUCGGGGGCUCUCCCCUGGAGGGCCACCGACCUAGCUAGGGUCACGAGGGAGGCGCUUGGGCACCACAUGGAGGCGUGUUUCGAAGCACGUUUCCCUCAAGAAGGAGCAAGGCAAGGAGAUCCAGACCCUCAGGAGUUCGUCAGCAAGGCCAUUCAGGAGCUACAGGAGUCAAGAGUCAUGAAAGGCAGCCGCCGCCUACCAGCAGUGGCUCCCCAUCCAGGCGAGGAUGGUGGGCUGCGCGUCUACAUCGACAUACCAGGGCUCAACCGAGUCGCCUCUCUGGAGCGCCUCUGGCCCUCGCGAGUGGGGCGCUGCGGAGGCCCACCCCAUAGCUACGUUCGCAUGCCUUACGGCUUGCCGAGCGCGGCUGACAUGUACCAGCGCCUCAUGAGGGGCAUCACGGAGGCACGAGAGGCCAGGCGUUCCGCAGCCCUGGCAGGGAUGGAGAUGGCCCGCGAGGAGCCGCCAGCGCCUCCGGAGCCUCCCGAGGCCCCUGGGCCUGGGGGCUCGUGAGGAUCGGCUCCCGCAGCCCACCGAGCUUGCUACACCAACGCUCCUUCAUCCUCAACAUCAUCAGGUGACAUCUUUCGAGUUUUAUUUCCAGCUGGGAGCUCCCCCCCAGGGCUGCAUUAUUCCCAGGCUGCAUGGGUCCGUCCCUGCGGCGUGUAUCCCUUUUUUAUUCCAUGUUGUUAGCUUACUUUGUUGGGGGCGCCCCUCGGGCUGCAUGAUCCCCAAGCCGCUCGGGCCAGGCCCAGCGGCAUGUAUCCCAUUUGCGUUUAUUUCCGAUUAUGCGUUAGACCCACCAUGCUUGAUUAUUUGAUGCCGGUCCACGGCACCUCUUUUCUCCAUGCCGACCACUUGCAGGUUAAAGGGGGGGUACCUGAGCAUCGCGACUCAGGGCUCUUACUGGCUCCCCAACCCUCACCUUCUGGCCUUGUCCAUGGCAUCGCGACCUGGCAUACCAGCGACGGCUGAGACCAGCUCGAGGGCCGGGACCCGAGGACGUAGAGUGCCGACAUCUAACCAAAUUUGCAGGGACACAUCACAAGAUAAGGCCCAGUGCCAGGCGCAACCCGCCUAGAGGUAGGGCCCCAUGAUUCCCGCGCUGGCUCACGGGUGCCCAGAUACACCUCGCCAGGCCCUACCGUGCCAGCCACGUGUCAGGGCGGGGCUGUACACGCCCCGGGGGCUCCUCCCGGAGGGGGGGGGGCCUCCCACGUACCAGUGGAAGCACCAUGCUCCGCGCUGGCUAACGACACUGCCGAGGAGCGGCUAUGCCCGUACACAUACGGUAGCGCUAUGCUCCGCGCUGGUGAUAAACAACUGAGGGUGGCCCCAGGGCCGCACCAACCUCAGGGAGCCCAGAGCUCAGUGUCUAGCCUCAUCGUAACGCCUCCCCUCGGGAGUGCCGCGCGAGGGGGCUGGGCACGGGGGCUGCGCCUGGGUCACACCCAGACGCACGCCGCCCAGCCAGGUCCCCCCGGGCCUGGUUCGUCGCGCGUCUCUCCCCGAGCGAAGCCAAGGUACGAAGGCCGUUUGAGCGUCAAGGGGGACUCCUGAGCAUCGUGACUCAGGAGCCUAACUGGUCACGUAGCCCCUCACUCCGUCGCCCCGUCCUGGUUUCCGGUCGGGACCAACGCUAGGUGAGGCACGCGCGCGGCCGGGCUUUGCAGACAUAGAACGAUAGAUCCACCCGCAUCACACCUCCUUACUUGUUGUUCGUGCGCCAAGGGGGACUCAGGAGCCUAACUUGUCACGUGGCCCCUCACUCCUUGGCCCUGUCCUGGUUUCCGGUCGGGACCAACGCUGGGUGAGGCAUGCGCGGGGCCGGGCUCUGCCGGCGUAGAACAUAAGCAAGUAGGAAGGAAAAGCGCAAAUUUCAAGGAAUUCAAAAGCAAAUAUUACAGUCCACACUGUUAUCUCAAUGCCAAACACAAGUUUAAAUGCCUCCCCGAGGCAUGAUACAUGUGCAGGAAUUAAAGGCAGGACAGGAGCCGCGAUGGAGUCACUUGUCGGCAGUGGAGCAGCGCGGAUUGGGUACGCCUCGCGGAGCGGUGGGGUCAGCAGCGCCUUGCUUCAGCUUGGUGCUGAAGGCCCGGAACUUCCCCAGCAGGGCCUCUGUGCGACCCUUCACGGCCUCGGCAGCGGCAGCGGCACGCUCGCCGCUCACUGGCUCCAGCAGGCUGUCGAGGUCGACACCGGGAUCGCGAAGGUAGAUGUGGGUGAGGACCCGCGUCAAUGCUGCAGAAGAUAGGACACGCGCCUCGGCCUCGGCCGUGGGGCCAAGGCCAAGGGCGACAUCUUCAAGAGCGUGAACCAGGAAGGGAAGCAGCUUGGCGGGGCCAUCCUCGGCGCCAGCCAAUGGGCUCUCUAGGCCGCUGUCGUAAAGUGUCCUCAGUGAGGAGCGAGCCCUCGCCUCCAUCUCCGUGAAGGCCACGCGGUCCUCGGCAAGAACUAGGGCCUCGUCGUCCAGCUUGGCCUUCCUCGCCCCCAACUCCUGCUCCAGCGUGCCUAGGCGGUCGCGGCGUUUCCUGAGCUUGACCUCCCUCUCCUUGACAGCCGCCUCGCGAGCCUUCACGCCUUCUUCCUGCUCUUGGCGAAGGCGGACCUUGCUCACGAGCUGGUCCUGCAAAUCUUGCAGUUCGCCCUCCAGCGCCUUGCAACGUCCACGGAUGUCGACCACCUCCCCCAGGGCUGCGUCAUGAGCAGCCUUCACCUCAAGGACGGCCUGCUUCUCCUCAUCGCAUGCCGUCGAGGCCUGGACCAGCGCCGUCCGAAUCGAAGCAUCGGAGUGAACCCAUCCUGAAGCCAGCUCCAAGCGCCCGGCCACCAAGCGGGGGUCGGCGCCAAGAAGAUCCUCCGCAGUCGGUCCAGCUCAGCAACAGCACGAUCCAGAACGGCAGAAGGAGUUGGAGAGACAGCAGCCGGUGGAGUAGGAGGAGAAGGCGGCAGCGCGGCCACAGCAUCCUGAGGCGGAGUCUGGCACGCCCCGACAGCUGUAGUGGCGGCGGCAGGCAAGAGCACCUCGGGAGCCACUUGGGCCGUGGGGGCUGAGCUUGCCCCAGCCGGCUCAGCCAGGCCUCGCGAGGACGACCGGGCAGGGGAAGCCUGUGCGUCGCGGUCACCCUCCUUCGCGGGCAGAGGCGCUGCCACGGAUGGAACCUCGGGAGCUCCCUUCGGCUUCUUUGCUGCGGGCGCCAGCCUAUCCAAGAGAUGCGGACGUCAAGCCUCAGAAGCAGAGCAAGAAAUAAAGGCAAGAAUCGAAUGCUUACGGGUCGUCGCCAGUGAGCUCAAGUGGCCUCCGGCAAAAUUUGAAGCCUGAAAGCCGGCUGGAAGGAUCAACCUCGGGAAGCAUGGAGGCGGAAGGUGCGUCUGCGGUCCGCCCCGGGGCCGGGGCAGACCCGCGGGAGAUCAGCCCGGUCCUGUCCUUCUUCGGGAUCGGGGGCGAGCUCCCGCCGUCCUGCUCGUCGUUGUCCUCGUCGUCAUCCUCAUCGUCAUCGCUCGGAGAGAGGCGGAGAACGCGGAACCUGCGCUGGGGAAGGGAGCCCUUGACUCUCCGUUAGUCGCCUCGGAGUCAGGCCCUUUUCCCCGCUCCCCUCCUUCCUCCUCUUCGCUGGAGUCGUCGGAGGGCACGUCCACCGGUUCCUCGGGAGUUUCCAUGGGCACGGGCCCAUCCCCGUUGAAUACGGGCAUGGACUCCACUACCUGCUCCCAGUCGUCGCGGAGGAACAAGGGCGUAGGAGCGCCCGCCAACCUCGCCAUGUCGCCCCCGACCAAAGAUUGGAGGACCGCAGCCAGAUCUCCGUUGGCUAAGGCCGCAGGGCUCGGAUGGGGCCUCCACAUCGGAAGUGAGUACUGUCGAAGCGGAGCCAGCUGGUGCUCCAGGAAUUCCCUCAGCAGCGACACGCCGGUCAGCUCCGCCGCCGCCAUAUUGUCCAGCCUCAGAUACGCGUCCAUCUUCUCCAACAUCAGCUUCGCGCGGGGGUCCAUGAGCUCUGCUCGACCCCAAUCGCUGGAGCUUGUGGGCUGCUCCGUGGGCAAGAUCAGCCUAGGGUGGAUGCGCCCAGCAUCCACCAAGACCCACUUGCUCCUGAAGCCCUCAAUCCUUUUCCCGGGGUUCAAAAUGGCAAUGGCGCCACCAUACGCGAUGAAGCUCGCGCACGAGGAAGCAGUACCACGAGAGGUCCGGAGGUAGAAGUAGUGGCGCAGCAAGGCCACUAAGGGCUGCACCCCUACGUGAGCCUCGCAGUAAUAGGCAAAGAUUUCCAGGAGAAGGACGGAGUUGGGGUGGAGAUGCAGAGCUUGCAGCUUAUAGUGGCGGAGGACAGAGAGGAAGAACUCGGAGAAGGGAGGCACCAAGCCAGCAGCAAUGGCACUUACGAAGAGCGGAUAGAAGGUGCUCCCUUGACCCUCAGGGGUGGCGGAGCCGGCUUUAAACACCUUCGCCCCGUUGUUGCCCCGCGUCGUCGCCAUCCAGCGCAAUCGGGCAAGGCUCGCCUCCGACACGUUCGGCGGGUCCAGGGUAGACGAGUACCAAGCUAUGGCCGGGGGCUGACGAGGCGCCAUGGCUUCCUAGGUCACACGGUCGGAGUGGAUCUGGAAAUUUUGGAGGAAGGAAGGAGAGGCGCAAGAAAGGGGAUCUGAGCAGCAACCGGGGAAAGCAAGAAGCAAAGCCUAGGUGGAUGCCGCUCCUUUAUCAACUCACGCGGUUGCUAAGGCGCCCACGUCCAAUCAACCGCCAUGCGGCGCCCAAGGCCGCAGGUUGUUAGGGCCCGCGACGCUUCGCUCUUGCCCUUCCGCCUCCCUGCACGGCCAAGCCCGGGCGCGCCUUGGGCCCGGGGGCUACUGUCGGCGUUCUGGGAAUGGGGGUCCCAGACUUGCCUGCCUGCGGCCUGCAGUGUGGCUCAAAGGGGGCCCAGCGCGGCCCAUCUUCACCAACACAAACCCAAGACCCUCGCGAGGGGCCAAGCCUUGCGGGGCGGACGACGCGGAGCUUCCUCAGGCACGGCCUCGUAAGGCUGGCUCACGAGGAGGUGGAGAGACCAAGGCAGGAUGCCUCACGAGGUGCCCGUGAUGCAAUCCAUGACGACCGAGGGCGCCAGGCGGGUGCCAGCCCGCACAGUGUCCUUCUUUCCUCUUUGGUGCAAAGGGGGCAAGCGCAGUCGCGGAGUACCGAGGCAUCAGGCAAAGGUUGCCAUUUCGGUGCAAUGAGACCAAGACCAGGAGGACUACGAGACGGAGGUCACCGUGGAGCCCAAGACGGCGUCAUCACUAGAGCUUUGCGCAGGCGAAGACUACUUUUGCCAGGAUAGAUGAUACUAGCUGUCCCUCUUCAAAUUAUCCCGCCAUUGUUGGCUCCCUUCUCGCUCGAUAUUUGGGAAGAGGACCAGGGCCUGUAUAAAUAGGGUCAGCCACUCGCAAGAGAGGGAGAGGAGAAAAAAGAGGGAAGAGAAGGGGGUUCGAAGGAAGAGGCUCUUUAGAGAGGGGUUUCGAUCAGAAAGAGAGAGAGAGAAAGGUGACUGAACUCCUCCCAGCAGUUCAUCGCCCCAGCCAAGAAUAGACCCUCGCGAGGCUGUUCUUCCUUGUAUUGUUCAUCAUCAUUAGCCCAAGAGGCAAUCCACCACACCACACACUGGAGUAGGGUAUUACACCACAACAGUGGACCAAACCAGUAUAAACCCUGUGUCUCUUGUGUUUUUCUUUCCUUAGUUUAGAUCCUAGCAAGGCGGAGGGGUGCAGGUAGGUAGGAGGCGAAAUCUCCGUGCGCACCCCAGUGUUCGAACCUCAAGGGUCUGCUGCAACCCGAAAUCCGACAGAUCUAUACAUUUUGCUCCCCCUUUGGAAACAAGUUACCAAAAAGUUCAAAAAUUCAUAGUGCUAAAUGACUCUCGGGCUUGAUUUUCGGAAGGUGGUGUAGAGAGAAAUCCAAAGACGAAGGCUUUCGAUGAAGUAGUUGGAGUUGAUGGAGUGGCUACUGGAGGUGGCACUGGAGCUGUGGCUGCUGGUGCUGACACUGAAGCUCGAGCAUCUGAGACUGGCACUACAGAAGACCUUGGACCUCAUGGCACACGCUUGAAAGCAUCAGUAGUUGACUUGCCCUUCUUCUCCUCUACUUCCUCCUGAAGUUGCUCAACUGCAGUCUGAAUCUCAGUCACCUUCAGAUCAAGAUCAUAGAAUUUUGUUUCCACAAUCCUCUCCAGGCUCUCCUGAUUCUGAGUCAGGGUGGCCAAGCCCUUCUCAAUCCUCAGUGUAGCUUGAAUCAGAUAUCCAACUUGAUCUUGCUUGCUCUUUAGGAAAACCUGAGAUGCCGCUUCAGCAGUUGGCAUCCUUGCAGCUUUCUCUGCCCUUGCCUUCUCUCUCUUCUCAUGUGCUUGCACAGAUGAUGGAUCUUCCUCAGUCAUUACAACAGUAUUGUCUUCAAAAUCAGGGUAGAUGGGCAGGUGCUCCUUAUCCAAAAGAUACUUGCCUGUGCCCAUCUUUGAGUUGAUGAGCUCCUAAAUUUGUGGGGCAUACCCACAACUCCUCUUCUAAUCAGCUGUUUUCCUUUUGAUUGUCUCCAUAAUCAGACUCAUGACUUUAAAUUUUUGAGGCAUAUCAAACAAAUGUAGCAAGUUGAUGGCAUGUCCUCUGAUCAUCUUGUGAUCACCUAACUUGGGUAGUAGUGUGUGUCUGAGGAUCCAAUUUAUAGUAGGCAGACCAGACAACAAGUAGUGGACAGAUCCAAACUUGUGAGUAUCCAAAGCAACAUCUGGGGUCUCUUUGUACAUGUUGGCCAUUGUGUUGUGGUCUUUCUUAUUCUCAUCAUAUACAUCCAAGUCAUCUUCAUGCUCUACAGGGGCAUUAAUCAAUUGAGCCCAUUCAUCAACAGAAGAUUGGUACCUGGUACCCUCAGACAUCCAAAUGAUCUUCCCAUCUGGAUAGAAAUAGGCAGUGGAGUAGAACUGCAUGAUCAAUUCAUCAUUCCACUUGGUGAGCUUCUGGGCCACAAAGGUAUCAACUCCACAUGCCCUGAAGCUGUCAUAGAAACCUGGAUAGUGAUCCUCAUUCUCCUUGAUGUACUACCAGUCAACCCAUCUGAUUUCACACACAAUGGGCUUCUUGUCAAGCAGGAUUGUCUCAUAAAAGUCUUGCAUUUCCUUGGUGUGAAAUUUGUAGUCCACAAUAGUCCUCCUCCUGACAGCAUAUGGAUCGGAUUGUCUCCAUAACCUCAGUCCUGCAUCCUUACUGAUGUGCAUGUCUUCUGCCACAGGGUGAGUAUCAUUAUGGUUAGGAAUUUUGGGCUUCAACUUCCGCAGAACAUGGGAUUCAUCAUCCUCUUCUUCAGCAGCUUCAGGCACUGGGGCCUUGUUUUUCUCCUCGGCAGGAAUGUUUCUAGUGAUUCUCUUGAGUUUAGGCUUCUGAGCUGGAGCAGUAGCCUUGGGAGCAACUUUGGGCUUAGAUGGAGAAGCCCCUGAUCUGAUUGCAUCUCCCAUGAGCUUUUAUGCUUUGGGUGCUGGUGCAACAUCCUAUUCCUCUUCAUAUGAGCCUCUCAUUAUUGAUGAUCUGCCAAGCACUCUGGCAGUGGUCUUCUUGACCCUUUCCUUCCUUUUCUUCCCUUCUCCAACUGCCUCUUCAGUUGGCUUGGAGGUUUCAGCAGUGGAUGCUCUGGCCUUAGACAUAGGAACUCUCUUUGCUGGUGCCUUUUUAUGCAUCCCUGGCUUAACUGUAGCAGCUGAGCCAUACUCCUUUUUCAGCAUCUUUUUCUUUGAAGUGGCCUCAUCCUCAACAGCCACAUAAUCUUCAUCCUCUGAAUCAGAAGUUCUCUUCUUCCUUGUUCUGGUUGUUGCCUUUCAAAAGUUUCUUAGAGUGCUCCUGCUUCCAUCAUCAGAAGAGCUGGAGGGACUAGUGCCCUCACUCAUCUGGACCUGUUCUUCAGAUUUGUUCUGGCUGUCACUUUGGUCAGACAUCUUACAGGCAAACUGUCAGCAGACCCUAUGAAUAGAUUAUAGAUGAGGUAGAGAAGAUGAGCAUCACAAAGUAAAGGAGUUUUGCAAAACAAUUGAGUCAAAAAGGUUAGUUUUAGUUCUCUACAGAAGUGAUCUCGAAGACUCGGUGAUACCGAAGCAACACUUGGAACCUAAACUAGUGAACUCGGUAGGGCCGAGUCACAGUUUGGUGGCACCGAGAUUGCUAGGGUUUCACAGAGUCCUAAACUUGGUCACACUGAUUUGCGCGUUUCGGUCAGACCAAAGAGCGCAUGUGCAAUGGCCAAGGCCGAAUCGGUGAGACCGAUUUCUGCAGUUCGGUCGGUCCGAGAUGAGCUCUAUGGAGAGCUAACCCUAAAUUUUUCGAAUCAAUCUAGACCUAGGAAGUUUUAGCUGGAUGGAUGAAUCUCAAUCGUGGCAAGAAACAUGGCAUUGUCCUCGUGCUAGGAAUCGGAGUGAAAAAGACAGCACAAGGGAUCGAACACUUACCCUAAUGCGGCGGGUGUUCGCUACGGCGGCAAAGGUGGAGCAGAUUGCUGUUGACGGUGGUGGAGACCAGCAGUGGGAGGUCGCUGGCGGCGAGAAGACGAUCCGGAGACCCGAAGAGGCAGAGUAGGUUAUGCACGGGCGAAGGGUUUCGGAAAAAUUUCCAAAAUUUGGCCCGUCGGUAUAUAUAACCUGACCCUGUCAGUGUGACCGAGUGGAACAAUUCAGUGGCACCGAGAUGCAAAACUGCAGGCAGUUACUGCAACUCGGUGUGACCGAAAGGUUCUAAUCGGUUGCACCGAGAUUGAAAACCUAGAUUAACUAAGUGAUCUCGGUAGGACCGAAAAGGAUGAAUCGGUCAAACUGAAAUACACAAAGAGGUUUUGGAAGUUUAAGUCUAUGACGAAUCGGGAACUCCGAGUGCUCCUCACACAGAGUGGUUCGAAUCUGACUUGAUCAAACUUUAUGAUGUAGCAUGAAUAGAGUUUGAGACGAGAAAAGCAUAGAUAGCUAGAGGGAGUUCUUAGGCAUUCUUGUCCAUCCAUUUGGCAAAAGAGAAAAAACCAAACAAUCAAAGAAACAAAUGGAUGUCCUCGAAUGAGACAAAUAUGCAUUCAACAUGCUCACACAAUUAAAAUGGAAAAAUGAAAUAUGUGACGAAGCAUGCACAAACACUCUAGCAUCUAUCAAGCAAUUGGCGAUGACAAGGUCAUCUAUAUAUGAGUAUAUUGACUUAGGAGUCAAAUGAGAACAUUUGAUCAUAGGCCAUACUCAUCAUUUAAGCACAAGUGGGGUUACCACUUUUACAUAGAGCAAUGUUGUACUCACACCAUUAGAGUUGCUUUAACUCAAUUAAUUAGAGUAAAGCUCCCCCUAGAUGUGAUAUCCCCCCCUAAGAGGGAUCAAUUAACCUUGGGUUUUGUUGAUGAUGACUUCAUGUAGGUGUUGAAGAUGUGGAUGCUCAAUGUUGAUGUAGAUCAUUCGGAGCAAUCCUUUGGAGUGAGUUGCACUUUCAAUACCUACAUGGGUUAGUCUCACAAGGAACAAACAAGGAUAUCCAUAGACAUAGAGUGAUGUGUACACAAGAUGAUGUCCAUGGAAGCAUUAGGUUACCUUGUCCCUUGUCUUACCAACAAGAGGGUUUGUGACUCCUUGAACUAGUGCAAGAUAUGGAAGUUGUUUGCACUUGUCCUCGCCAAAAUGAUAUGAGUGAAGUAUGUUGGCGGAGUCACCCUCAAGAACUCUCUAGUUCUUCUUCUUCGGGAUCCACACCAUCUUGAUGGGAAUCCUUGGAGUUGUAGUCGUACUUGAUGAAGUAGAACUUGACGUAGUCUUGGGAACCCACUUGACCAAGGCCUUGGGUGCUUCCUCGAUUGCAUCAAUCUCCUCUUGAAACUUGUCCUUGCCUUUUUGCUUGUGGUCUUGUGGUGGAAGAUCAUCUUGAGAUUGUGUUCCUUUAAAAGAACUAGGUCAUACUUCUCUUAUUGAGGAACAAACUUCGUCUUGGGGUAUUGAUCUUCUUCCCACUCAACUCCAUUAGCAUUGAACUUUCGUUCAAAACCAACACCUUGAUUCUUCUAGUGUCUUCCUUGCUUGCGUACAAUUUCCUCAAAUUGCUUACUUCUGGCAAGGCUCUUGUAAACACCUUUCUCUAUAAUUCCCUUCAAUAAGCUAUUUUCUUGCUCAGGUGUAACUUGGCUAAGAAAAUUAUUAGUGGAAUCAAGAGAGCUACUAGAAGCAACAACAUUGGAUUUAGCAUGAUUGUUGUUACUACUAGACGAAGAAUCUUUCUUGUUUUUGUUGCUAGAUUUAACUUGUGGCAUGU
This 44882-nucleotide long non-coding RNA is filed under the name Triticum aestivum (bread wheat). Its description in RNAcentral is "long non-coding RNA (TAES_LNC021155)". The record is from RNAcentral. Lineage: Eukaryota; Viridiplantae; Streptophyta; Magnoliopsida; Poales; Poaceae.